UAAGUUUCUAGCUCGCUACCCCUCUCUCUCUCUCUUCUCCUCCGGCCUCGGACGCGUGUGUUCCCCUUUUGGGCCGAUCUGCGGGUUUGGUGUGGUGGUUCGACCAAUCGAUCUGGUAUAAAUGGGGCGUGUGAGGUAGGGGAUGAAUUCGUUAGAUCCUGAUGCAGUGUUGAGGUGCUGAGGUGUUCGGAUUUGGGAGCUUUGAGGCAGUGCUUUGGUCUGAUUAAUGUGCUGAAUUGAUGAUCAUGUUCUUGUUAUGUUGUCCCAUGGAUCGCUAGAAUUUUGAUGCUAGCCUUUCUUAUGUUGUUCGUCUGGAUUAGGUAUAUUAAUCAAGUAGAAAUUUAUGUGAGUAUUUAUUGCUAUUGGACAUAUUAGGCAUGUUGGAUUUUUUUUUUCUUGAUGGGAUGAACGUCCUUGGGCUUUGGAGUGUUUAUUCCUUGGAUUAUAUGGAGUCUUACUGUCUUAGGGAACUGAUGAGAUGUCUGUUAGCCAAGGUUUUGGUUUGCUUCAUUUUAAAUGUUUCAAGGUUGCAUGGAAACGGAGAGCUUGCAUGUACUUUCAACAUAAAUGGCAUGUAUAGCUUGUUGCCACCGGUACACUAACAUACAAGGAUCUUGUCGCUUGGUUCCGCUACACUGCUGCCGUGUUGGUUUUGGUAAUCGUACAUGUCAAGCAUUCUUAAACUUGAGGUCAUCAUGACUAUGGUUGUCUAUGUGUAUUCAUUGCAUGCUCAUGAUGUGUAUUGAUCUGAAAUCUGUAUGCAAUACAACAUGUCGGACAAACAGGGCACCAUUCAGUUAAGGAUUAGACAAUUUGUACGGAAUGCCUUUUCAGAUAAGCAGUUGAAUGAUAUGCCUUUUUUCUAUCACAAUUACUUUUUCCUGUAUUGUGUUUAUUUGUUUCUUCUAUUUGUAGUUGAAUUGAUUUUGUUGUCGCUUGCUGCAGACCGUGGUUACUAUUCAGUGGAGACUGUUACAUUACUAGUGGCUCUUAAAGUCCGUUAUAGAGACAGAAUCACAAUAUUGAGAGGAAAUCACGAGAGCAGACAAAUCACCCAAGUGUGAGUUUCUAUUCCUCUGAUAUGAAAAAAACUCUGAACUGUCUUCAAUAGUUGCCAAUUGCCAAUUUUCAGCACAGUAUCUCUAUAUUGCAAUUUUUUGCAAAACAUAUAUGACCAUGCUGCAAAUCUUACCAAAUGAUUAUGCUUGAAAUUGAUCUUUUCUGCCUCCUUAGACAAAGAAUAUAUUUUUGUUGGGCAUGAAUUAGAGUAACAGUUUUUUUUUUCUGUUGGAAGAUCACGAUUACAUUGUCUCGAUAUCUUUUGGUUUGUGCGCUUUUUUAUUUGCAAUACUAGUUAACAUGCAAGAAAAACAUUGUGACCUUAGUAGCUUUAACUUCCUUGAUUAGUUGUAUUCAAAAGCUUGUCUUAUAUAAAUACAUUGUUUUGAUAUUGAGCAUAGCAAUAUCCUUGCAAAGGUGAACUAGCAUAUUAGUUGAACUAGAUUCUGUGGCCACAUAAUAUCUGUAAGAUGCAAAUUCUGGCACAGGCAUUAUUAUAUUUGGUUAUUCAAUUGUUUCCUUGGUACCCCAUGGCCUAUCCCCUGGGUAUUUUGUUAGUCAACUUGUUCGAUUUUAGAAUCAGGAGGAUUGCAUCCUGUUUCUAGUUUUCAUAGAUGAUACUCCACUUCCAUAUGGUUGAAUACCCUCUAAUAGGGGUAACAUAAUGGCUGUAUGGUGUCAUGCCAAACGUCAGAAAUCCUAUAAGCUGAAUAAGGAAUCUGUCUCUUGUCUUGGUAUGGAAAUUCAUGCCAUGUAAUUCAACACUCUAUUCUCAGUCUACAUCUUAUUAGAUAUGGAAUUGUGGAUUGAGUUAAAAUAGUAAUCUGGAGUUGAUUAUAAAGAGGAAUUCAAACAUUGAUGAAUUGUUAAAAUUAUGCAGUGGCAGAGUCACGGAUCGCCUAUUUUAGUGGUUAUGUGUGCAGAUGACUAUGAAAACGUUAUACUUUGUAGGAGCCUGACAACCCUCAACAGCAAAAACUUUUAGAAAGACUUACAAAGUUAAAAUAAUUUCUUGCAACGUAACACCCGUAAAAAACAACCUGGUUGCUUAUUAUGCAGGCAGUCUAUUUAAACAACGAUUUGCAUUUCAACAGAUAUAUCAAUGACAAUAAACAAUCAUUUAAGAAACAAAUUCCUUGUUCUUAAAAGGCAUGGAAAGUAAUCACCAAUUGCUGGCUUAUUUGGUUGACUCGGGCUCCAGGCUACGACACCAACUGAACUCUGAAUAUUCCAUUUCAUGGAGAAAACAACAAAAGGUGAUUUGUUAUCUGAACUGGUGAUCCAAAAUGGCCAAAGGCAUCCCUGCUAACCACUCUUGAUUAAGAGGUCAUGGAACAAAACACAUUUAUUUUUCUUGGACUCAGCACGGUAUCUGGUACUGUAGUUUUUAGCUAGCAUGAUAUCAUAAGAAUUAGAUCAUGUAAUGUUGAUGUCGCUUUAUAAAUCAUAAAGUUUGGUAAAUUACAUGACUUUUUUUGGUUAGAAACCUAAAGAAAGAAAUAAUGCAAAUUAGCAAUAAAGAUCAUCAAUUUAUAUUUUGAAAUAAUUAGCUGCGUAAGUAUGUUUUGGGACUUUGUAAGUUGGGUUAUGCGUUGCAUGAGAUUUGAGUUGCAGAGUUAUUUAGAAAUAAUUUACAAGGGCUCCCAGCUUCUGACUCCCUAAUCUGAUCUAACAACCCCACAUAGAAGUUUAGGUAUUGGCAGCCAAUGAUCUACUGGAGGUUUAAGCCAAAUUCCUAGAAUAUGAUGAAUAGAUCUCAACUUUAUGCUGACUUGCUGCCAUGAACUUUCUUAAAGUAAAAAAGUUAUGAUUGCUCUGGGUCUGAAGAUUGAUGUAGCAAGAAUCCUACUUUAUAAUGUUCUUGUCAUGACAUGAACUUUUGCCAAUUUCUUCUGCUGCAUUCUACUUUGUAAAAUGCAAGCACACCCACUGUGCUAGGGUGUUCUUGACAUGCAGUGUUUGGAUACAGGUAUGGCUUCUAUGACGAAUGCUUACGGAAGUAUGGAAAUGCAAAUGUUUGGAAGUACUUCACGGACUUGUUUGAUUAUUUGCCUCUCACAGCUCUUGUAGAAAACCAGGUUAGCUCUUUUUGCCAAAUGUUUGUUCUAUUAAUAUGGACAUUGAACUCAGCUUGUCCAUGUAUAUGGCAUACCUGACAAGAGGAAAAAUUUCAUUUUGUAGGUCUUUUGCCUCCAUGGCGGUCUCUCGCCGUCAUUGGAUACAUUGGAUAACAUUCGUGCCCUCGAUCGCAUACAGGAGGUAUGCAACACUUCACCCAUACCUUUGAGCUAGUGAUCUAAUUAUGCAUCAUUUUGCACCAUCGUCUUUACUUGCCAUGUCUCCAUAGUCCAUAGGCACCCUCCUUUUGAACUGGAGGUAAUGCUCAUUCAUGAUAGCUUGAGAACAGGUCCAGGAGUGUUAAAUAAUUGAACCUAUAUUAGAGGAUAGCAUAUACCAUUCUUUGCCAUUGGAUGAUUCGGUGUGCUCUAAUAAUUUAUCUGCAUCGUUUCACGUGCAUGGCUCGAAUGGCAUUCUUCUCAUAUAUGUUGAUCUCACACAAUAACUUUAUAUUAAUAUACAUAAAAUGUUCUGGGUGAGGAUCAAAUGAUAUACAAAGGUUGAUAUACCCCCUCCAGGUUGAUAAUACUUGUAGUUUUGGACGAGUACAUGGUCUCGAAAAAACAACUUUGACCACUAUUUUCUAUUAUAAUAUAUAUAGAAAUAUCAACAAAUAUAUGAUUCUAUUGAAGUACUUUUUAAGACUAAUCUAUACAUAUGGUCUGCAUAUUUCUGAGACAGAUAUUUUGGAAAUUAUUCAUAGUCAGAUUUUAAAGUUUGACAUCAGCCUUGUCUAGAACGACAACUAUUAUCAACCUGGAGGGAGUAAUAGGUUCCAGUUACGCGAUUUUCUGAUGUACCAUAGUGUGUUCUUUUUUACAAGAUGCAAUGGGAUAUGGGAGAAGAGCUCAGAAAUUAAACAAACUAAAAGAUCAAUAUUCCUGUACAAUUUGCUUAAGUAGUUACAGAUAUUUCUUACUUUAUUGUUGGCCAAGCAUUUGGUAAGACUAAACAGGACCUCACUCGCCAUGACCAUUCACAAAUAAUAUUAUGCUUGCUGGUUUAGUGUUAGUACCUGCUAUGCCUAUAUAUCAAAUUUGUUGGUUCGUGCCAUUGUUCGUACAUAGCUUAAACUAGUAACUAAAGGUGGCCCUCAUUGAGCAAUUGUGCGUAAUAGUGACCGUCUUUGUGUAGAACAUAUGUGCUGUAUUUGCACACUUUUUUGUCUUGAUAAUUUAUAGUUUAUGGAAAUCAUAUGUUUUGACUUAUGCACCCUGUUCUCUUUAAUGGUUAUAGGUCCCUCAUGAAGGGCCCAUGUGUGAUCUUUUGUGGUCUGACCCGGACGAUCGAUGUGGGUGGGGAAUUUCUCCAAGAGGGGCAGGAUACACGUUUGGGCAAGAUAUUGCACAACAAUUCAACCAUACUAAUGGCCUUACCCUUAUUUCAAGGGCCCAUCAACUUGUGAUGGAAGGCUUCAAUUGGUGCCAGGUUGGUAUAAAAUGUUCCAUUUGCUUGUUUUCAUUCGUCCCACUCUGAGAGCCCUGUUCACAUAAUUAUUAUUGGUCUUACUAUGUUAGGCUAAUCCAUUUUGGUAUUCAUAAUAAUUUCUGGUGCUUUAGCUAAGUUAUAGACUCAUAGUUGCAUGCUGAUGCUGAUUGCUGAAUCUAGUAAUCAUUAUGAUGUUAUGGUACCUGAACUUCGCAUUAUAUAAGUUUUAGUAGCUUGUUCAACCCUUCAGUGAUCUGUUAAACAAUGACAACCCCUUCGGCCCUUCCCCCACAUAGUUUAUGCUGUAUAGUGAUUGCUGAUUAUUAUCUAGGAGGCAUAACAUAUUUACAAUCUAUGGCGGACAUAAAGAAUGCAACGCUUGAUACAGUUCUAUAAGAUGAGCAGAACUUUUCUUGGUUUGGAUGUAUGGUAUGUGGUUUGUUGUUGAUCCUAGUAUUAUUACUAUAUGUUUGGUUUUCAUGUAUCAUCACAUAGGAGCAUGUACAUAGAACCUUACCUUACCAUCAGUGACCUGCACUUGAGCACCAAAUUGGAAAAUUCUAACAAAAAGCUUGAUACUUAAUGACAAUGAUUGUUAUGCAGGACAAGAACGUUGUCACGGUGUUCAGCGCCCCAAACUACUGUUACCGCUGUGGUAACAUGGCAGCAAUUCUAGAAAUCGGGGAGAACAUGGAUCAGAACUUCCUACAGUUCGAUCCAGCCCCACGACAAAUAGAGCCGGACACAACGCGCAAGACCCCCGACUACUUUUUGUAAUCGUGGCGUUGAUCUUUUUUUUUUUAACUCCCGCUGUUGAUGUUCCUCUCUGCUGCGUCUGGUUUUAUGUAGAUCUUCGUCCUUAGAAAAUGGGUUCCCUCCUCGAGCCAAGCUGUACCCCCCAUUCUUUGUUUGGAAAUUUUGUUGCAGCUCCUCAACUUCCAUAGAACAUGUUAAAACGUACAUGGCGUUGUUUUUUCCUUUUUCCUUUUUUAUGUACCUCCCAUUUUGUAUUAUUCUGAGACAGGAGAGAUGGGAAGCUGCAAUAGAGUUGUCUCGUGACAUAAAUUUUUGGUCUCCCGAAAAGAUGCAUGGCCUGGUGGUGUAUAUGCGCUGUAUAUGGGAAGCUGCUGUUGGAAGUUCAUGAUUAAGGAAUAAAUCCCAGUGUCGUUUGUGUGGAUCUACUGCUGCGGCAUUUCAGUGGGGGCACCCGACAGGAGUUAGGCGAAUACGGAUGAGGAUUAGGUACAUUAUUACAAGGAAUUAUCCAGCUGGCUUACCAUUCGCAUCUUUGAACUCCACCCCCCAAAAAUAUGUUUGGUGGCUGACCGAUGACCUGGCGUGUUGACCUGCUGAGAACACUGCACUCCCUCUCCCGCUGAAUCGACGAGUCACAGGGGAUCCUCUCAGCAGCAGCUCUGGACCUCUGGGUACUUCUUAAAAAAUUCUGUUCUGUGAAAUUUAUUUUUAAAAUAUUUAAUUUAUCCUUGUAAUAAUAAAAUAUAUAAUCCGCGAUAAUGAUUCGGUGAAUAAUUUGUUUAAAACGCUAGUACAAUAACAAACGCUCGUUCCCCUAACAUCUAAUUACACAGUAUAUUACACUCCAGUUAGAAAUAUUUAAACACUGACCAUAAAUUUAAAAUAAGUUCAUAAAAUCUACUUCCUCUGUUCCAGAAUAUAAUAAUUUUUAGUGUUUAGAAUUUAUCUUAAAAUAUAACAACUUUUUCGCCAAUAUUCUCUUCCUAAUCAAUCACAACUCUCAACCAUUCAAUUUUUUUUACCUACAUUCACUUCUCAUCCAAUUAUACAUUUCCCACAUUUAAUUCUAUAUACUUUCUUAAUAACUGUGUCCAUAAAAAAGAACUUAUAUUUUACGACGGAGGGAGUAAAUAAAUAUUUAUGAUUGGGGUUUACUCCCUCCGUCCAAAAAAAACCCAAUUCUAGAGAUAAAUCUGGACACUUAGAAUUGGACUUUUUUUUUUUGGGACGAAGGGUGUAAGUAACAACACCAGUCUCUCUUGCACAUAUUGCAUCACCACAAAAAAUAACUAAAUAUUUUCCCCCAUUGAUUUAGUGCUCUAUGAAGCACAAGUGGUUCCAAUAAUCAACUGAUCAUCCGACAGUAACACGACCCACACCCUGACUUUAAGCAAAACAUAUGCAUACUUGUUCAAUGGCUGCAUCUUCCACCAGGGGCGAAGCCAGGAUAAAUGGUCGACGGGGUCAAUACUAAUUUAGUGUAUGAUACAUUGUUAGAUCUUCUAAAAUAGCGGGGGGGUUUUUUUUUCAAGAAUCGCUCCAUAAUACUUUGCUUGCCUAUUUAUCUCUACUACAUAAAAACAGAAUUUAUCAUCCACCCUGAAAGAAAAAAUACGGGGAAAAACCAGACCCAACAGAAAACUAAAUAACGGGGAAAGUAAUUUCAUCCCUCGAGGGGAUAUCCCUCGUUUCGUUCAUCUCAUCUAAAUAGCUAGAUUAAUACGAAAUAUAUCACUCCACAAAUAUGCAAGUUAAAAUUUAACUUCUACAAAUUGAAACAAAAAUAACAAAUAUAAAUGCGAAUGUACGAUAACUAUUUUCAGUUUAUUUUUUUAUUGUAACUUGUAGAAGUCAAAUUUGAUUUUGCAUGUUUGUAGAGUGAUAUAUUCCUUAUCAACCUAUGUUGUCAAUUUUUUUAUAACUAUUUAGAUGACAUGCAAACAAUGAGGGGAUAUCCCCUCGAGGGAUGAAAAUCCAUAUCCUAAAUAAUGCUACGAGCAACCAUUGGCCCAUAGGAGAUUGUUGCAACGCACGGACAUGUCUAUAAAUUAUACUACCUCCGUUUCAGGGUAUAAGACUUUCUAGCAUUGCCCAUAUUCAUAUAGAUAUUAAUGAAUCUACAUAUUAUGUAUAGAUUCAUUAAUAUCUAUAUAAAUGUGAUCAAUUCUAGAAAGUCUUAUAACCUGAAACGGAGGAAGUAUUAAAAACCGGACAUAAUUAAUAUGUAAACAAAGUAGACAUUAAAUGCACAAAUACUCACUGCUAAGAUUACCAAAAUGUAUAUUGGGCCUUUGGGCUGACGUAUAAUCAUUAGCGCUAGCUAAUUCCUAUUUGUUGCUUGCUAAUCUCAAACGUGUCGUUUCAAGUUGCUAAUUAAUCAGGCUAUAACAAAUCAUGGUUACCGGGGUCUAGUGUUUUUAUCGACCGGGGUCAUACACGGUAAAAUUAAGUGGAGUAAGAAACGUACACAAGAAAUCGUCGGGGUCAGUGGACCCCGAUAGAUGGCUAUAGCUUCGCCCCUGUCUUCCACUAAAGUUCAAACCUGCAGUUCCAAGAUGCUCACUCCAUUAGCGGCCACUAGCCAGUGGCUUCUUAAUAACUCUUGAAAGAUCAACUCCAAAGCUGCAGCUCCACCAAAAAUGGUUGCAAGCUCUGCCUCUCUGCUCCUCUUCACUCUGAUCCACCCACUUUUGUGCAUCUCAGCUCAAGAUUUCCUCAAGCCAGGCUCCUCCCUGUCUGUACAGGAUGUGCUCCAUUCACCGGAUGGCACUUUCACCUGUGGCUUCUACAAAAUCUCCCCCAAUGCCUCCACCUUCUCUAUCUGGUUCUCCAACUUGACCGAAAACCCCGUCGUCUGGAGCGCAAAUCCUCUCCACCCUGUGUACACCUGGGGAUCCAAAGUUGAGUUGAAAUUCGAUGGUGGCAUGUUUUUGAAAGAUUAUGCUGGCCAGAUUGUGUGGGCUAACAACGUUAGCUCUUCAGAUACCCAGUAUGCUCAAGCUCAGCUCUUGGACACCGGGAACCUCGUUGUGAAGGGCGAAAGUGGUAACACUCUGUGGCAAAGCUUUGAUUCUCCUACUGAUACAUUGUUACCCACUCAGAGCAUCACUGCUGCUACAAAGCUUGUGUCUACAAAUAGGUUACUUGUUCCUGGCCAUUACAGUUUCCGUUUCGAUGAUCAGUACUUACUUUCACUGUUUGAUGAUGAGAAGAACAUAUCUUUUAUCUACUGGCCAAACCCUAGUAUGACUAUUUGGGCAAAGCUAAGAAGUCCAUUCAACAGCACCACAAAUGGGGUUCUUGACAGCUGGGGACAUUUCCUUGGAAGUGAUAAUGCAACAUUCAUAGCUGCUGAUUGGGGUCCUGGCACAGUGAGGAGACUAACACUGGAUUAUGAUGGCAAUCUCAGGCUGUACAGUCUUGAUAAGGUAGACAGAACAUGGUCAGUGACAUGGAUGGCAUUUCCUCAGCUCUGCAAAGUACGCGGUUUGUGCGGUCAGAAUGGAAUAUGUGUGUAUACACCUGUUCCUGCCUGUGCUUGUGCCCCUGGUUACGAGAUCAUCGACCCAAGUGACCGGAGCAAAGGUUGCAGCCCAAAGGUCAACCUCAGUUGUGAUGGACAGAAGGUGAAAUUUGUUGCACUCCGCAAUACUGAUUUCUUGGGGUAUGAUCUGAGUGUUUAUCGUUUUGUUCCUCUUGGAUUCUGCAAGAACAUAUGCUUGAAAGACUGCAGGUGUAAGGGUUUCGCCUACUGGGAAGGAACUGGUGAUUGCUAUCCAAAGUCUGUUCUUCUUGGUGGUGUAACACUAAGUAACUUUGGCAGCACUGGUACCAUGUAUCUCAAGCUUCCUGAGGGAGUAAAUGUGUCAAGGUCCUCAUUUCCCCAUUCACAGCCUCUUGGUCCUAAAUAUGGCCCUAACUGUAAUACAACAAACAACAUUUCCAUAGCAGAUUUUUUGGAUACACUUAAUAGUGGGCAGAGCAUAUCAAAGUUUUUGUAUUUCUACGGGUUCUUAUCAGCGAUAUUUCUGGCGGAGGUAUUAUUUGUUUUAUUAGGAUGGUUUAUUUUGAGGAGGGAGGCCAAACAACUCAGAGGAGUAUGGCCAGCUGAGGCCGGAUAUGAAAUGAUAGCUAACCAUUUUCGCAGGUACACCUACAGAGAGUUGGUGUUGGCCACUAGAAAAUUUAAGGAUGAGCUUGGAAGGGGAGCAUCAGGCGUCGUAUACAAGGGAGUCUUGAAAGACAAUAGGGUAGUGGCCGUGAAAAAGUUGGUAGACGUAAACGAAGGUGAAGAAGAAUUCCAGCAUGAAUUGAGUGUGAUUAGCAGGAUUUACCAUACAAAUCUAGUGAGGGUUUGGGGAUUCUGUUCUGACGGUCCACACAGGAUAUUGGUUUCAGAAUUUGUGGAGAAUGGUUCGUUGGACAAAAUCUUGUUUGGCAGUGGGGGCUCACAGAACUUACUUGGAUGGACACAAAGAUUCAAUAUUGCUCUUGGGGUGGCAAAAGGAUUGGCAUAUCUUCAUCAUGAAUGUUCUGAGUGGGUCAUCCACUGCGACAUGAAACCUGAAAAUAUAUUGUUGGGCGAGAAUAUGGAGCCGAAGAUCGCCGACUUUGGCCUUGCAAAGCUCCUGAACAGAGAUGGAUCUAACAUAGACAUAUCACGGAUCCGAGGAACAAGAGGUUAUUUGGCACCUGAAUGGGUUUACAGUCUGCCAAUAACAGCGAAGGUAGAUGUGUACAGCUUCGGAGUCGUGCUCCUCGAAUUGCUGAAGGGAGCUCGUGUUUCAGAAUUGGAAAAGAAUGAUGAUGAGGACGUGAAAAUGGCCCUGGGAAGGGUAAUCAGGCUAUGCUCAGAGCAACUUAAGUCAGAUGGCGACGAUCAGUUUUGGAUUGCCGACUUCAUUGACACCCGAUUGAAUGGCCAAUUCAACAGCGCACAAGCAAGAAUGAUGAUGGAAUUGGCUGUUUCAUGCCUUGAAGAAGAUAGAGUCAGAAGACCUACCAUGGAAUGUGUGGUGCAGAAACUUGUAUCAGUUGAUGAAGUCAGUAGCACACCAACAGGAGGAAGUGAGGAACCACAUUCAACCAGAACUUCAUCACUAAUAAGUUAUUAAAGUCUAUGCAAGAAGAGGGUCCAGAUAUAGAAGAAGUAAUAUUUGUGCAAUAGCUAACUACUACUGUAACUAGUAAUAUUUACACAAUAAUCAUGCUAUAUCUGUUGUAAAAACUCCAGCAAUAACUGGAAGGCUGGAAAGUGUGCCCCAGAACAAGGGAAUGUCGGUGACAUGUUCAUAGACAUGCCUCUUUCAGUGAAAAGUGUAAUGCUGAUAUUGAGAGAUAAUUUUAUAAUUACUUGUUUUACAUGUAUUAAAUUUUCACCUAUUUCACUUAUUUCUACGGGCAGAUUUAAGACCAGCUUCUGUGCUACAUAACUAAUAGACGCAACACCACCACAAAUUGAAUGUCCAAAGCAGUUCUGGGCUCAAUCGUGUAAUAGGACAGAGAGGAGAAAUUGUCCAUCCCAAACACAUGGAUGAACCAAACCAACAUUUUAACAAGAUAAUAAGUACUACAAUCCCUCGAUAUCUUGGAAAGAAAAUGCCCAAUACUACUUGUCUACGUCUACAGCAACCUUGACUGACGCAGCAACUAAUAUACAGUACGUCCACACGGUGGCUGUGUGCAAUAAAAUGAACAAUAAUAGAUCAUGUACUACUAGUAGCAUUUCCCAGAUCGGACGAUUAUCACCCAAAACACUUGGCAAUAUAGAUUGUUCAGUUGGAAGAACAGAAGCGGUAGCGCGAAGUAGCCACUUUUCCCCAUCCUCUACUACGGGACUUACCUGUCGAGUGGCGGACGUGGAGGCGGGCGGAGCAUCGGUUUUGGGCGGUGAAGCUGCGGAUCGGGUGGUCUCCGGACGCCGCCCUUGCGCCGCGCGCGGCCGCGACCGGACCACAAGGGCGUGCGAGCUGCUGCAUCUGCUGAAGGUGGGCCGCCGCCGGCCGCGGAACAAAGACACCUAAAGCUAAUUAACACCUACUAUAAUAAAUCAUUUCUUUGCUGUCGCUAUUAUACAUAGGUGUCCCUAUGUAUCCAUAUGUAAUUAUAAAACAUGAAAGUUUAUUUGUAAAGGAUAAAACGUUUCAAAAAAAAAGAGCAUAUAACUUGCCUUGCUGGCCUCCUGGGACUUCUGCGAUAUUCUCGUACAAAGGCCCUCUCUAGUUCAUGGGUAAAAAGUUUAAUUUUUUUUUCAAAAUAUACUGUUUAUUUAUUUUUUUUCUAAAAAAAUUCGGGGUACAAGUUUAUUAACAGAAAUAUAUAUCGAUCUCGCACAACCGUUGUACGAGAGCACGGUCUCGCAUAAUGAAACAGCGAAACGGAACAAUGAAGUAACGAUACCGAACAGUAUCGCACAAAGAAACAGUGCUACCGAAUGUCUUGUACAAAAUUAAUGAUUAAUUACUAUAAUUAAUUAUUAUUUAAUGAUAAUUGAUGAUUAAUUAGUUGCUAAUCAAUGUGAUUAAGACAUUAAUCAUUGGGUGUGGCAGCUAAUGCCGUGCGGUCUCGUACAUUGACUGUGCGAGGCCGUACGCUCUCGCGACACCCCUCGCGAAACCGUGUCGUGUCAUCACCCUACGUCAUUCUCGUGCAGUAGUUAUACGAUACCGUAUCGUUUUCUCACUCUAAACUAGCGAGGACGGUAUAUUUGUAAAAAAGAAAAAUUUGUAUCCCGAAUAUUUUGAGGAAAAAAUAAAUAAACAAUAUAUUUUCAAAUUUAAUUUUGACAUGUCAGUCGGAUAUACGGACACAUAUUUGAAGUAUUAAACAUAGACUAAUAACAAAACAAAUUAUAGAUUCCGCCUGUAAACUUCGAGACGAAUUUAUUAAGCCUAAUUAAUCGGUCAUUAGCGAAUGUUUACUAUAGCACUAUAUUGUCAAAUCAUGGAGCAAUUAGGUUUAAAAGAUUCGUCUCGCAAUUUACACACAAUCUGUGUAAUUAGUUCUUUUUGUCUAUAUUUAAUACUCAAUGCAUGUGUCGAAACAUUCGAUAUGGCAGGGUGAAAAGUUUUUGAGUAGAAACUAAACAUGGCCUAAAUGGGAGCGUUGGAAGCGAGAAACAAAGCAAAAACGCAAACGAAAUUGCUAAAAACUUUCGUAAAUUUUUUCUUUUUGCUCAAUGAACAUUCAAAUUUGUAGCCAUUUGAUUGCCUUGAGAUUUGUGCAUGAAGGAAAAAAAUUGCUAGAAAGAAAUUUCCACACAUGUCAUGUAUAAUAUUCCGCUGCUAACCAACAAAACCAUAAUUGAAUACAAGUUUUAUAUAAGCUAUACCGUAGUUACAGUGUAAUUACAGUAUAAUUACAUUUCAAUUAUAUUAUAGUUAUUUCUAGAAGUUUUUUCACUUUAGAUACUCCCAUAGGCAAAAUAGUACAUAAGACAACAUAAAACAAUACAUCUAACAUUUGUAAUGAUUUCUUUAAAAUUUUAGAGCAAAUGUGCAUGUUGAAUGUUCAAUACCUAGUUAAAAUGAAUUAGUUAUAAAUCUUAGAAAUUUUAACCAUUGUAAUCAUUUGUAGAAGUUAUAAACUGAUAUAUGACGCAUUAUAACAAGAUUACUAUGUCAGUAGUGGGGAACCUGGCGUCAACAGGCGGGCCUCACGGUCAGCGAGGAAGGGAGGCCAGCUCUCGUGGACCAAAUCCGCCGAGGUGGUCCACGAGAGGUCAAUGACCGGGAUUUGCCAGCACAUAUCGAAGCCCGGGAUCACUGGUGCACGGUCAUGUGUCCUUGCCAUGCGACAGUGCACAUGGCGGGCAUGGUAGUCAGGUGCAUUGAGGUGGUGUCACCACGGCACUGACAUAGGCAGCCACAGAUGAUCCACGAGGAUGACAGAUUGGACGGACGGGGCGAGGAGGGGUCGGCUUGCCAGACAACCGGAUGUGUGACUUGAUGGUUGCCGGUAGCGACCAUACGACGUGGCGAUGGGAGUGGAAAAAAAGGAAGCAUAAUAGGAUGGUGUCCUCGCCGAGUGCACAAUGGUGAAGACGGCGGUGCGCAUAGAGAGGAAACCAACGGCGGGGCGCGAAGCGGCAAGAGGCUUCGGGUAAGUGAUAUUGACAGCAAUUCACUGGCAGUUGGUGAAGAUGAAGAGGUGGCCAAGCAUCUCCUUGACCAGGCGAAGGUAGGGGGUGGUGGUGGUGGUUAAGGAGGUCCACGAUGCCAUGAGACGCGAGAAAUGACGGUCAAAAGUCAGCAGGGAGAGAAGACUCACGGGACACCGGCAAAGACAAUGCUCCACCAGUCCUCAGCUGUGGGGAAGCCAUGGCCGAGGACACCUGAACCUAUGAAGGACAUGGAGAGGCUAGCGGCGGUUGCUACAGUCCCUAACGGCGUCGAAACAUCGUCGAAGAAUGGAAGAGACAGCAAUGCUUACCUUUCAUAGCAAUGGAGAGGUCCAGAAGCUUGGUUUUAGGAGGUGAGGGUGGAAAAAAAGUAGUGGAGGCUAGGGGCCCCUUUUUAGCCUUGGGAGGCAGGGUUAAGGAGAGGCAAGCGGUGGCUAGGGUGACGUGGAGGUGAUGUGAAGGAUAGAGUGGGUGGAAAGGCUAGCUAUUGUGAGCGAGUGGGUGAAGAAGGUAGGGGAAGUGGGCGAUGAUCACGUCCUCGUGAGUUUGAAUGAGCAAUCGUGGGUGGGAAGGCGUGACAAGGGAUCGCGACAUGGCCAAGGUUAGGGAUGAUCCCGACAAGUAGACCCCACCUAUCAGUGUGUCACGACCGGAAUUAACCCAACAGGCAUUCCAUAAGUGCGUGUAUUAUUCCUUGUCCCAGGAGGCAAGGUACACCAAAAGUUGAUACAAUUCAGAGUUUAACAAGCGGAAGCGUAAAUAGUUAAUUUAUUACAUGGGCGACGAAGGCUCAGCACACACGAAGAUAAACAAAAACAGUGGAAGACUAGGGCGACGACCACAGGCACUUGACGGCAGGCACGAGCUAGACACCAACGCCAUCAUCCUCCAGGAACUCCUCUUCUAGGUUGGGGAAAAAAUGAGCAAGAUUGAGUACAACCACCGUACUCAGCAAGACACACCCACAAUUGCAGAAUAAAUGUGAAGGAGUAUAAGGGGGUUAUAAUAUAGGGGUUAGGAUUUGCAGUAAACAGCAUUUAGAAGACAUUUAGUUGCUCAGGGCCAUUUUGUAAAGACGAUCCUAGAACUACACAGUGUUAUUAAUCAAGGCCAUGAACCCCCACGAACCUGCCUUAACCCAAGGCCUAUGAUGAUUCAGACCGAACUGGCAACCAGACCCAGCAGGUCCCAGUUCGUCCCAAGCCAACCCAGGCCAACCAUUUCACAUUUUAGUUGUUAAGCAAGUUUUAAAAAAUAAACCACUAACUUGGGUACAUUGCUAGGCUUGCCCAUAACCAAGGGCGCGGCUAUUCGAAUAGAUUAUACUCUGAUCAGAGGUAUACAUCUUUACCCACAAGACACGUCUUCCUCACGUGUAACCACGUGCCACAUACCACCACGGCAUACAGACGGAAGACAUGACAUAGUUCCCAACCCAUCCUAGCCAUAAACAAGAGUACCGACCCAACCCUGGCUAUGGCCGGAAUCCCGAGACAGGUAACCAAGGUUGAGCCCCUAGCAACAAGACACCGGCCCUGUGCCGUGACAUCUCGACUAUCGGGCCACAGCUUGUGUAGCCUUCAUUUGUCCUCGAGAUGUCCAUCAAGCCUCGACUUCGUAUAUCCCUAUCCAUGUACUUUUGCCCAUGACCAGACUGAGCCACAAACUACGCCUUACCCACUAGACAUGUGGAAGUACGGUAGUGCUUUGCAACAGAGGCCCGAAGACCGGUCCUUAUAGUGGCCGAGGUGCUUCUAUCAAAACCAUGCACCUCGAGCCCAGCCUAAAACCAUUUUGAGGGUUUUGAAUAGAGGAGAAGGUGUGUGUCCAAUUCCACAUAAGCCAACCAUUCCACAAGGUACAACUGAUAUGAGAACUCCCAAAGUCUAGAAUUAUAAAACCACCUAAAAUUUGUCUAAUUUAAAUGGCGAAGCAUCUACCUAAAAUUGGUACUAGUGAGACCAUAAUACAGUACACACCAGUGAGGUUUUAGUUACUCUAGGGUUAAUAACAAUAACAAUAAUAAUAAGGUCAUAACAAAGGUAAAUAGGCAUGGCUAAAUAAAACAGUGAUAACGUGGGAAUUUGAAUAAAGCGAUAAUGCAUUAAUUUAAAACAAAAUAAUUUUAAAGCAUGGGACAACAAUAUGUUCAAAGGAGAUGUGACUUGCCUUGCUCGCUUUCCCAAACGUCGGCUUCAACCUCCACGUAGAGCGGAUCUUCCGAAGCUGCAGCGUCUACACGACCAACAGAAAGAAAAAAAGGCUUUUACUUUAAUAAACUCCAUAUAACAAGCAGAAACAAAGUACAUAAAUGGGUUCUUGACUUCUUAAGGAAAAAUUAGAGACUUGAACGGUCCAAUUCCGAGUUCAAAUGACCAAGAUAUAGCCAUUUGAAGUUUAUAUGCUCUUAAUGUGAAUAUUUGCGAAUUUCUUCAUUUAAAUUUUAAUUAAAAAUAGGGUUUAUUGCGUCAGCAGAGGGGAGAGGGUGCGUGGACCGGGUCCACGGGAGUGGGGCCCAUGCGGCAGCCUCACGGUCCACGGUGGACUGGGUGCACUCGGGCUCACACCGGUCGGCCCCGUGGGCCCCACGCGUCAGCCGCACCCGAGGGCACGGAUGGCUGACGGCCGAGCCCCACGCGGCCACACGGCGCGCUCGGAGGCGGCCACGUCGGCGCGGUCGGCGGGAGGCGGCGCCUGUGCCCCUAUGGUCACUGGUGAGGUGGUGGACGGUGGUCCACGCCUCGAGAGAGGGAAAGGGAAGGGGGGAAAGGAGGCAGCGGUCCACGGCUCACCCCUGGCGAUGACGGCGACGUAGGAGGCGGUCGGAGCGGAGAGAGAUGGCGGUGCGGCUAGGGUCGACGGGGACGGCAGCGUUCUGGCGGUCGGCGAGCUCGGCGAGGCGGUGGACGGUGUCGGCGGUGACGCGGCGAAGCCGAGGUUGGCGGCGCCGAGGUGGGAGGAGGUCCGGGGCGACGAUGGCGACGGACCGGAGCUCGGCAGCGAUGGCGGAGAGAGAGGAGAGCGGUGCGAGCGCGUUUCCGAGGGGGAAAGAGGGCGGCGAGUGGUGGAAACGGUGGUGAGGAGCUCGGGGAGGGUUUAAAUAGGGUCGAGGGCGAGAGAGGGCGGCCGGAGGGGAAGGAAACCGGCGCGGGGGUCCCGGUCGGCAUCAAUGGCGCCGGCGAGAUUUGCGGGAGCAAAUCCGGCCGUUUGAAUGCGGGAGGGGGAGGGGAAAAUGGGGGGGGGGAAAGGGAGAGGGAAUCACGAGGAACAUUUCCCCCCUCUUAAUUGCACGCGGGAACGGUCGGGGGCAGCGGAUUUGGCGGUGGCGGCGGUGUUAGGCGCGGGCGAAGGGAGCGGCGGGAUGAGGGGGAUGAUGGGUGGGCCCCACCCGUCAGCGAGGGUGGCGGGCGGGCCCGCCCGUCAGCGACGUCCGCACGGGGAGGGGCCGAGUGGGGCCGCGGGGGAAGAGAGAGAGGGGGAGGGAGAUGGGCCGAAUUCAGCCCAGAGAGAGAGAGGGAGGGGAUUUUUAGGGUUUUUCUUUUUAUAAAACUUUUUUAACUUUGUUUAUUUCUUGAUAAUUAUUAUUUGUGCUCUGAAAAUUCCACUAAAAUCUAUUUACACAUUUUAGCUUUUAGGAAAUAUAAAAAAUCCCCCAAGCCUUAUUUGACUUUUAACUUUGCACAUUUUAAUUUUGGAGGCUUUCACUUGGAUUUUAAUUAUUCUGAGCAUAAUUUUAAGGAUAUAUUUUUAGGGUCAUUUUAGGACGUGACACAGUGUCCUAGGGUGACGACUACAUGGGAGGCUAGGCUGGCAUGAGUGUGAAGAGGAUAUGGCUAUGGCGACUUGCUAGCAUGCGCGGGCGGAAGGGGAGGAAGGAUGCACCGAGAGUGGACCCAAGAGUAUGAGAGUUUUUUCUAAGCUCUUAUGAAUUUAUUUAUUAUGAUAUUUGUUUAUGGGUUAUUAAAAGUAGCUCCAAUUCUCUAAAAAAAAUCAAGCAAAAAUACUGUGAGUAAUUUAAAGCAUGGGGAAUUUAAGAAAAUUACACCCAACUAGAAUAGAUUAUUAUUUAAGGGUUUUAUUGUUGUAGAUUUUCCUAUAAGAUUUUUUUGGCAAUUUCUAGAAAUGUACUAUUAAUGGAAUUAUUACUUAGGGGAAAAACUCAGGGUAUUACAAAUCUACCCGUAUUAAAUGAAAUCUCAUCCCUAAGAUUCGGAGGUGCUGGCUAAGAAGUGCAGAUGGGUGGACUUCAAUUUAUCCUCUCGUUCCCAUGUAGCCUCAACUUUGAAUGAUUGCUUCAUUUGGCCUUGUAGAAACUGACCACUCGUCUUUGUGUGUUUCUUUUGCUGGUUUGGAUGCGGAUGGAUUUCUUUCCACAAGUCAGAUCCUCUGUAUCUCGAUCUGAUCCAGGCCAAUUUGCUCAAUGAGCACUCUUAAGCAUUUCUUCAAUUGAGAAACAUAGAAUACAUCAUAUAUGACAACCAUGGUUGGGGGUAACUCCAACUGGUAUGCCACUUGGGGUAACUCCAACUGGUAUGCCACUUCUAUGCCACUUCUCCUUUGUGACUCAAAACCUUGUAUGUCCCCACAUAGCAUGGUGCCAAUUUUCCCUUGGUUUGUAAGAGGGUACACCUCGAAACGGGGGGACUCGAAGGUACACAAAAUCUCCUUCACUAAAACACAAAUCUCUUUAACGACUAUCAGCUUAGCUCUUCUGGCAGGAUUGGGCUACCCUCAGCCUUUCUUGAAUGAUUUUCACUUUUUUCUCUGCUUCGUUUUGGAUGCCAGUCCCAACUCCCAAAGAGCCGACAUUCUCUCGUUUGAUCCCAAUUAAAGGAGAGGGGGUGCAGCAUUUUCUCCUACACAAUGCCUCGAAUGUGGCUAUCUAUAAGGCUAUCUUGAUAGCUGUUGUUGUAAGAAAAUCCUGCAUAGGGCCAACUCUUAUCCCAAGUCCCACCAAAGUCUAAGGCAUAAGCUCUCGACAUAUCCUCUAAUUAAUAUAUGUUUAAUUUGUUUUGUCUAACCAUCGGUUUGAGGGUGUUUGUACUGAAAUUUUAGGUUCUUAGUUCACGGUUUGAGUGGUACAACCGGUUGGAUCACUGGUCUAAAGAUGUUUUAAGAAAUUAAAGAUUUCAUAGCUAUCACACUAACAUCAACGCAAUGUAGUGGUAAGGAACUGCCUUCCCAACCAUCAGUUUGCAUGGUUCCAUUUUAGUUCUGGUCGGAUUAUCGGUCUGGUCCCUUCAUUUUAACUAAACGGGACCAACUAAGGCUCAACUUCUGUUUUUUAUUUCCUUUUUUUUCUUUGCUAGUCUGUUUGGUCCGGUCCUAAUAACUAUACUCUUAAGUUUUUUGUUUCAUGUGUUCUUGCGGCUGUUCUUGGGGAUGUUCUUGGCUGUAGCUCAUUAGCUAUUCAACUUUUGGUGAAAAUUAGAUUCGGUCGUGAGAUUUUUUGUAUGAAUGUAUUUGCUAGUUGGGACAAUUAGUAAUGUAUGUAAUAGAAUGUUAUAAAUAACUGGAAUAAUCAUGCUGUAAAAGACUGCGAUUGAAUGUAUUUGCCUCUGAAAUUUCUUGCUAGUCACAGUUGUUGGCUCUAUGAUGUAAAUAAGUGUAAUAAAUCAUGUUUUAUUAAUUUGUUUUCCGCUAAAAUAGGAAACACUGCUGAUUGGAUACAUGUGCAAGCAUGAUGGAGUGGAGUAUAGUAAAUUAAAGAGACCUAUAUUUUUUGUGCCUUAUCUAUGUGUGAGGUGGUUUGUGGAUACGUAUCCCUCACAAAACAGAUUAUUGUGAUUUUGGGGUGUCUGCAUAUGGACAUGCCCUUUGCAUGCCAUUUUAAUUAUCAAAUGCUUCAUACGUUGCUCAUGAAUCAGGGGUGUUUGCAAUUUGAUGUUAAUCUUAAGUUUUCUGAUCGAUUUUUGUUGACUUGAUUUAUUAGUGCAAAUUAAAUAUUGUUGUUUGUAGUCUAAAGAAAUGCAAAAAUUGCACAAAACACUUCUCUGGCAAUUUUUGGUAGUCUCACUUUGUUGACGCAAUGGCUGGCAAACUGUGAGUUACUAUGUACAAGUAACCAAACAUCUUCUCUCUGAGGUAGUUGGUGGUAGUUAGAACAUCAAUUAAACUUACAGUACGUGAACCAAACAUGAAAUGUAUGCUGGAGGGAGUAAUAAAAUGCAGGUUGAAUGCAUGAUGGGAUUGAGUCAUGGAGAUAGUUUGUCCACAUUAAAAUCCAAAAUCCGGAGGAUAGAUGAAUGAGGUUUGUAGAAAAAAAAACGCAUACAAAAUUUGGUUCUAAAGCAUCGAAACUUAACGAUUUCAGUUUUGAAUUAUAUCGAAAGUUACCGGUUCACUUUAACAGUAUCAUGGAUCUAUAAAUAUAUUUUGUGAUCACUUGAUUAAUUAAGAGGUCAAGAUUUCCGUGAAAAAAGGGAAAAAUUAAGAGGUAAAUGUUUCAUGUAGCUUGCUCAAUGGGAAGUAGAAAUCAAGGUUCAAGGGUACGUUAAUUAAUAUAUACCAUAUGUAUUACUCCAAAUAUAAUGGAAUUGAGAGUACUAUAAGUCUAUGACAGCUGCCAAAACUACUUAACCGAUCACAUAUUCACAUUCGCAAGCAUAAUGAAAUGGAGAAAAGCUCAACAGAAAUUAAUGUAGCACACGCAUGAAAUUAAUUAAACGCACUGAUGAAGUAAUUAAUUCUUCAAGCAAGCAACAGAAAUUACAUAUAAAUUAAUUUGGGCACAUAUGUAUACUAAGCAAUGCAAGCAAGCACGGCAGCCAGCUACGUCGCGAUCUAUCAAAGCGACAACUCAUCGAUAACAACUAAACUUAAUUGGUACCCAAUUUAUUUCUAGAAAACAAAGUUAGAAGAAAGAUGAGACGACGAGACAUGCAGCUUCAGUGGCUGAUAAUUGCAGAAGAGCCUAUCUCCGGUUCUUCUUCUUCCUCUUGUAUCCACAGAAGCCACCCGACAGAGGGUGCCACAUCCCGGUGCAGAAGAUGCAGUUCUCCACGGUGCAAUCUGUAAUUGCAAAAGAAAACACACAGGAUUAAUAUUUAGCUAGUUAAUUAGUUGCCCAGAUGCAUAUUGAAAACGCUUCAGUUGCAUGAAUCUAAUUAAUUAUUGAUCAGUUAAUUAGCUGCUGGUGGUAUAUAUGUGUGCUUGCUUACUUUCACUUUCUUCGUCCAUCUCUUUCCACAUUCUGACCUCCUCCGGCUUGUCUUUUCCGACGAUCUCGGCGAAGGAGUAACGCUUGCCGCCGCCGCCGCGCCGUCCCGGCGUCUCGCCGGUAAACACGACGUGGAAGUAGAUCAAAUCGUCGUUGUCGUCGAACAGCUUCAUGGUGAAGGCGUUGCUGUCGAAGCCUUGGACAUUCUCCAGGUCGAUGUCCUGCACAGGAGCAUAUAUCACUCUGAUCAAUUAUGCAUACACACAAAUAUAAUCGAUUGGAAAUGACAAUAUUCAAUUCAAUGCAUGAUGAUCUAUAUCAAGAGAUCUAGAGAUGACAUGCAUGAUAGCAGUUAAUUAAUUAGCUAGUCACUUACAAUGUGGUCUAACGCCAGCUUGGUGCAUGUGGUGAGCUGAUCAUCACCAUCCCCAUAUCCUGGAAAUUAGGGUAGCAAUUACUUGGUACCAUGUAUAAAAAUGCUGACUGAAGAUAUGAGUAGUUCUCAAAAAAAAAAAAAAAACUGACAAUAUGGAUUAUACUAACUGAUGGUCAAGAGAGAAUAAACUAAGCUAGCUAGCCAUAAUCAACUAAUCAACACAAAUACUGCAUGUACCUACCGUUGUUGUUUGCCAUUUGAUGACCAAGGGCUUGAGUAAGCUAAAAGAGGCUUGAGUUUCUAUGCAUGCAUUGCCUUAUAUAUAUAGUCAUAUAGUAAUCUAUCAUGCAAUCGAUCAAGAUCGUGUGAUACUUGUGAUCCUCAACCGAUUAACCGAGACAGUUGUGUCAUGCAACUACGACAUCCGGGGACUGAACGGCUUCCUCGACAUCAAGACCACCGCAAUUAAUUAAGGCCCGACGCGUUAUAUUAAAGAAGAGUGUCUUAUUUUACUUAAAAAUUGUUAUCAAAUCUUACAAUACGCUGUUAUAUAAAACAUUAAAACCUAUGGAACAAGAUCAGCAACUCGGCCCACACCAACACCCAGCAACUCCACUAGACUCAUGCCAUGAGCUUACCGCUUUGGGAAGUUAAAAAACAAAAAAAAAAAAAAGCUUACCUGAGCCUCGGUUGAUGCCCUGUAAAUAAAAAUUUAUAAUUUUUUCUCUUUUUGCUCUAUCAAAAUAUAUAUGAGGCAAAGCUUUUACCCUUUUUUUCUUAAAAAAAACUAAACUCAUGCCAUUGUUGCCACACAUCACACAUCACGUCUUCCAAUGCUGCAAGCUUCGACUUCACAGUCACUCGUAUCGUUUAAGAAAUGGCUGUGCUAGAUACAUGCAACUGGUACAUGAAAGUGUCAGCUCUACCAAAGGUGUGAUGGUCGCUCUAAUCCCACUCUAACCGCAUUGAUCUUAAACUGACGACGGACGCCCGGAACUACAAAAUGGUGCUUUCAAACCAUGGCCAGACCCAAAAAAAAUUAUGUUGGGGAUGCACACAUACAUGUCACGAGAAUUGUGACAUAUACUUCAUCUAUCCAGAAAAAAAAACCCAAUCCUAAAUUUGAAUAUGGAUAUAAACCCAUGAUUAUUUCUUUUUGACAGAUGGAGUAUAUAUAUCAAUAUCUUAAUUCACUAAAGUUUGUAAGAAAAUAUGAAGUUAAUUAAUUAUAAUUAUUGUGUACUACCUCCGUCCCAAAAUAAGUGCAGCUGUGAAUAUCCGUGCCCAACGUUUGACCGUCCGUCUUAUUUGAAAAUUUUGUGAAAAAAUUAAAAAUAUUUAGUCACACAUAAAGUACUAUUCAUGUUUUAUCAUCUAAUAGCAAUAAAAAUACUAAUCAUAAAAAAUUUUCAAAUAAGACGAGCAGUAAAACGUUGAACGUGAAUAGUGCAAAACUGCACUUAUUUUGGGACGGAGGGAGUAGAUGCAACCAGAAGAUACUUUUUUUUUAGCACGGUGAGUUACUCCGGUGGUUGGCCGGGGUUGAUAUCGUGUCUCAGCGUCUCCCGAAGCAAUGGCGGAGCGUUUCCUCCAAAAAUUGGGUUUCACCAAAUGAAGGUUUCUUCGUCGAGUGCAUCAGCAAUGUGGAAUGUGGAAACAGAGAUCUUAAGCUGUGCAUAUAUACACAUCAUGGGAGUGAUCUUUAUAAGGAUCAUUUGGAUGAGCUAGCAUUAUACCUGAGACAAUACCGUAUCCCUAUGAACAAAAAAAAGUUACUAAAUAUGUUCUUCCUAUAAAAACUUCAAUAUUGUAUUUAAAAAAUGGUACCGACCAAAAAAAAUCGAAUCACAAGUCACAAGUCACAACUGCUUGUUGAAAACCAAUGCAUUGCUCAAUACACUGUAAUCCACUAUUUUUUUGGUUGAUAGCAGUAGUACAUUUCGGUUUCCUGGAGAUGUGUGACCUGUCGGCUGCACCGCUAUUUCGUUGACAGUAUGUGUUAGAUUGCUGACAGUGACCAGGCGUGGUGACCUGCUGAGAACACUUCAAAUUUGCACUCCCUCUGAAUCCUAUCAUUGGGAGCAAACCUUAAAAAAGAAAGCAAAAUUAUCUUGUUUAUUUACAAGUCAGUUUCUUUGAAAAAGCGAGAUCAAUAUGUGCAUGUGCAGCCAUGAAGCAUGGUAGUAGCACAGAAUUCAUCACCAUGUUGCAGAUGUUACCUUACUGCCUAAAUUAACGGUUCCUGAUCGACAAGGACAGGUCAUGCCACAUUUGCCAUAUACAGUGUAUGUCAAGCAGGUUGGAAAUGUAUGCAUAAAACCAUGAAUUACUCGCAACAUUGCAUUGCUGUGCAACUUGAAAUCUUGCAUACUCCUAAAAUCCUAUUCCUGGUUUGAAAGAAGCUUGCACACUGACUUGGACUGAGCACACAGGCUCGCUGAAUGGCUGACUGGGUGAUGACUCCAGUGCUAUCAACCUCCUAUUGCAAUUGAAGGAUGUCAGAAUCUCUCGCGUUUUCUGGUGUUUUUGGCAAUUGAAGGUUCUUAUUUGAACAACGCCAUAUGAACAACGGAUAAGGUUAAUGCCUACUGGUGGGGGAGCCUAAAUGUAUGCUAAUCAAUACACUGUACCCCACUUGUUUUUUAACAGUAGAGAUCUCUACACCCUUGAAUUUUUAAGGAAUGCAUGUGUGCACAGUUGUUCAGAGGCUGCAUCUGCCACGAAGUUCAAGCUUCAAAAACCUGUUAUCCAAAGAAGUACACUUUUCUUUACUGGAUCCAGAAACCACUGACCAGUAUGGAUUCUUAUAAUAAGUUAACAGCAACGCUUGAAAGACGAACACCUGCUCUCCAGCUCCAGCAAAAAUGGUUGCAAGCUCUGCCUCUCUGCUCCUUCUCCUGAUUCAUCCUCUUUUGUGCAUAUCAGCACAUGAUUUCCUCUCGCCAGGCGCAUCUCUAUCUGAAGACGAUGUGCUCUAUUCGCCGAAUGGCGAUUUCGCCUGCGGCCUCUACAAGAUCUCCCCCAAUUCCUGCACCUUCUCUAUCUGGUUCACCAACUCGGCUGACAAAACAGUUGUCUGGAGCGCAAAUCCUCUCCACCCUGUCUACACUCAGGGAUCCAAAAUGGAGUUGAAAUCCGAUGGCAGCAUGGUUUUGACAGAUAAUAGUGGCCAGAUUGUUUGGACCAACAACGUGAGCUCUUCAAAUGGUGAACAAGUUCAAGCUCAGCUCUUGAAUACUGGAAACCUCAUUGUGAAGGGCAAAGGUGACACCAUUUUAUGGCAAAGUUUUGAUUCUCCUACCGAUACCUUGUUACCCACUCAAAACAUUACUGUUCGAAUUAAGCUCACAUCUACUAACAGAUUACUUGUUCCCGGUCGCUAUAGUUUCCACUUUAAUGAUCAAUUCCAGCUUUCACUGUUUUAUGAAGAGAAUGAUAUCCCUUUUAUUUACUGGCCAAAUCCGACUCGGACUAUCUCGGGGAGGGAAAGGAUGUUGUAUAAUAUCAUACCGACCGGUACUCUUAAUAGCUCGGGGCAUUUUCUUGAAAGUGAAAAUUUAACUUUCAUGGCUGCUGAUUGGGGUCUUGGGAUUAUGAGGAGAUUAACACUAGAUUAUGACGGCAAUCUCAGGUUAUACAGUCUGAACAAUUCAAGCGGAACAUGGUCAGUCACAUGGAUGGCAUUUCCUCAGCUCUGCAAUGUACGUGGUGUGUGUGGUAUAAAUGGCAUAUGUGUGUACACACCUGUGCCUGCCUGUGCGUGUCCUCCCGGUUAUGACUUCAUUGAUCCAAGUGAUCAGAGCAAAGGCUGCAGCCCAAGAGUCAAUAUCACUUGUGAUGUACAACAGAAGGUAAUGUUUGUUAGCCUUCCAAACACUCAAUUCCUAGAUUCUGAUUUAAGUCCUCUUCGUUAUGUUUCUCUUGGAGCUUGCGAGAACAUAUGCUUGAAGGACUGCAAUUGUAUGGGGUUUGUAUAUUGGCAAGGAAUUGGUAAGUGCUAUCCAAAGUCCGUUCUUCUUAGUGGUGUAAGCUUACCUCACAUUGGUAGUACUGGCACCAUGUAUCUCAAGCUCCCUAUGGAAGAAGUGUUGGAGGAAUUACAACUGUCGGAGCAUUCAAUGACUUCAAUCCCACAGUCACAGCCUUUUGGUCCAAAAUACGGUCCUGACUGCAAUGCUAACAAAAAUUUGGACGAGCAUAAGAGUGGUCAAAAUGAAUCGAAGUAUUUGUACUUCUAUGGUUUCUUAUCAGCAAUAUUUCUUGCAGAGGUAACAUUUAUUGUAUUCGGAUGGUUUAUUUUGCGAAGGGAGGGCAAACUAGCAAGAGGAAUAUCUGAGGUUGGCUAUGAAAUGGUAACAAACCAUUUCCGUAGGUACACCUACAGAGAGCUGAUGAUAGCCACCAGAAAGUUUCAGGAUGAGAUUGGACGAGGAGCAUCAGGCAUUGUAUACAAGGGGAUCUUAAAGGACAUGAGAGCAGUAGCCGUGAAAAAGUUGUUAGACAUAAACCAGGGCGAGGAAGAAUUCAAGCAUGAACUGAGUGUGAUUGGCAGGAUCUACCACAUGAAUCUAGUGAGGGUUUGGGGAUUCUGUUCUGAUGAUCCACACAGGAUGUUGAUUUCAGAGUAUGUCGAGAAUGGAUCAUUGGAUAAAAUAUUAUUUGGUGCUAAGGGCUCACAGGCCUUACUUGGAUGGAAGCAAAGAUUUAACAUUGCUCUAGGAGUCGCUAAGGGAUUGGCAUAUCUUCAUCAUGAGUGCUUGGAGUGGGUCAUCCACUGUGACGUGAAACCUGAAAAUAUACUGCUGGAUGAAAACAUGGAGCCAAAGAUUGCCGAUUUUGGCCUUGCGAAGCUGCUAAAUAGAGGAGGAUCCAAAUUAAAUGUGUCACGGAUCCAAGGAACUAGAGGCUAUUUAGCACCUGAGUGGGUUUCAAGUCUCCCGAUAACAGCAAAGGUUGAUGUGUACAGCUUCGGAGUAGUGCUUCUAGAAUUACUCAAGGGAGCUCGUGUUUCGGAUCUUGAAACAAAUGAGGAUGAAGAGGUGGAAAUGGUCCUCGGGAGGAUAAUUAGGACACUCGCGGAAAGUUUGAAGUCAGGUGGGGAUGGACAAUCGUGGAUUGUUGAGUUCAUUGACACCAGAUUAAAUGGCCGAUUCAAUGACUUGCAAGCAAGAGCAAUGAUGAAGCUUGCUGUUUCAUGCCUAGAGGAAGACAGAGGUAGAAGACCCACCAUGGAAAGUGUGGUGGAGGUGCUUGUUUCAGUUGAUGAAGCCAGUUCUACAAUUUAGGAGUUAUAAUUCUGGUAAAGAGCUUUGCCAUUUGACAUCCACAGAAUAUAUCUUGUAGUCUUUCAUAAUUGGCUAAAAUAUCAUCUACUUAAGAAAAUGUCUUUUGGUCUGAUGCAUUAAGAGGAACUGCUUAAGCCCCAUUGUGUACUGAAUGCAUGAUUUUUCAUGUACUAUGCUUUCUGAAAUGUGCAAUGUAUCAAUUUAGAAAUAAUGGGGUAGUAAUGCAAUUACUAUGCUACAUAUAUUUUGUUGCAAUGAUUCGAACUUAUAGCUAGAACCUGGAGUCCUGGACAAAGUGUGCAUUGGUGUCCUAUGGUAGAAUGAAUCGUGCUGAUAUUUGCAUCGCACCUUACUAUUACGAACCCUGCUACGCUCCUAGAUUGCUCGUUCCCAUGGCAGAUUUUGAGACGCAGUUGGGGCAAUUCACAGCACCAGCACAGCCGCUGCUGCAGCUGUGAUUCAACUUGAUUGGAUCAGAUGAGCCGCAGCAUCGGCUUUCGGCAUCAAUUUGAUUGGAAUUUAACAGGAUGAACGCCGGGAUGUCGCAUCUCAACGAUCCCCUUUCUAACCCCAAACCCUAACGACCUCGUGCAGACACAGAAAGACGGAGAAAGAGAGCAGCUAUUGCUCGUACCGUUGCAGUGGAGAAACGGAGAUGGAGUUUGCUGCAACAGGAGCGCCGCGGCCGGCGCGGGUCUCCGGCUGCCCAGCGAUGCGCGUCGCCGGCGCGCGGCGGGAGGGCGGGCGGCGGCCAUGAUCGGCGGCGCACGGUGUGAAAUGCUGGCAACGCGAGGAGGAGGACACCGUCAGCUGGGCUAGUUGGGCCUUGAGCUAACAUCGGUUUACAUGGGCCCAUUUUGGUUGGAAGAAACGGUGGGCCCAACCGAGGCCCAAGAGAAGCUCAUAUAGGGAUCCCAGGUCCAGUUAAAUUCUGAUGCAAACAUUUGUCCUAUUCAAAAUAAGGAGCAAUCUUUUGAAGAAAAUCCAUUUCGACUGCCUCAACUAUUCGUAUCCUUUUAACUGUAAAAUCAGCCAUAGAGAGGCUCCCUCAAUCACUAAAACCAGCUCACUUUGCGUUCUGAGUGUAUUUAGGUUGUGUUUAGAUGCUAGGGUGAAAAGUUUUUGACGUGUCACAUCGGAUAUACGGACAUAUAUUUGAAGUAUUAACCAUAGACUAAUAACAAAAUAAAUUACAGAUUCCGCCUUUGAACUGCGAGACAAAUUUAUUAAACCUAAUUAAUCCGACAUUAGCAAAUGUUUACUGUAGCACCACAUUGUCAGAUCAUGGAGUAAUUAGUCUUAAAAGAUUCAUCUCGCAAUUUACACGCAAGCUAUAUAAUUAGUUUUUUCCUAUAUUUAAUACUCCAUGCAUGUGUUCAAACAUUCGAUGUGACAGCAAUUAAGCAUAUGACAACAUCCACACACUGGUCCUGUAUUUUUAGAAAAUAAGAAAUAAAACUUGUAUUUUACACUAGCUCUGUGAUGGACAAAUUAGAAACCUACAUGUCCCGUUCAUUUCUCCAACAAGAGUUGGAUGAAGAUAAAGAUUUUCGUGGCACACUUUUCAAACUGUUAAAUGGUAUGUUUUGUGUGAAAACUUUCUAUAUGAAAGUUACUCUAAAAUAUUAUAUUAAUAUAUUUUUCAAGUUUUUAAUAAUUAAAACCCAAUCAAUCAAACGUUAAUACCACUUUAUUUUGCGUAAAAAACUUAAUCUUUAUCUUCAUCUUUAGAAGAAAAAAACACCAUAUGAUGUUGCUUGUAACAAAUCACAUGGAAUGUGCACUGACUAGUACAUAUAUACUUUAUUUAAUUGUUUCAGAUCAGACAAAGAAAGAGUAACUCCAACACGAAUUUACUGAGAAUGAGGAGAUGGAUGUCCAUGAAUAACUACUCUCUCCAUCCAAAAAAAAGACAAACCCUGAGUUUCCGUGUCCAACGUUUAACUAUCCGUCUUAUUUGAAAAAAUUAAGAAAAAAAAUUAAAAAAGACAAGUCACGCAUAAAGUAUUAAUCAUGUUUUAUCAUCUAACAACAAUGAAAAUACUAAUUAUAAAAAAAUUUCAUAUAAGACGGACAGUCAAACGUUGGACACGAAAACUCAGGAUUUGGCUUUUUUUUUUUUCUGACGGAGGGAGCACUUUUGGAAGAUGUUGAAACUAUCUGUUGGAUUAUGUUAUUUUACUAUGUAACGGACUGUACAAACUACCUGUUGGAUGAUGUUAUUUUGCUAUGUUGACUUGUUGAGACAAUUUUUGGACUGGUGAUAUAUUGUUAAGCACAUUUGGAAUGUUUGAAACCUUUGUAAUGGACUGUCAAAGCUAUGUGAUGAACUUGUAAUGGAUUUAUUGGUGUAUGCAAUUGUAAUGGACUGAUUGAUUUGCAAGAUGACUUAUUUUUUUUUUUGAAAAUCAUGAAUUAUCUGACUGCAAAAUUGUGCUCGGAGCGCCCCAAGUUUUUAUACUCCAAAUUUUCGAUCGAAAUUUUCAUAUUUGAAUUAAAAAAAUUUCGGAAGAAAAAAUUCCGAAAUUUCGGUUCUUUCGCCCAGAAAAAAAAACGUUUUGUAACUGCAAACCCUGGCGCGGCAAAGGAGGAGGGAGACAGAAGGGAAAGAAACGCGUCCGUCAACGCUAGGCCACCUAAUGCAAUGCGGACUCCGACGCCAAGCCGGUUUGGAAUUGGAUCCAUAAUCGAUCGGUCUAUAUAUUGGCGGGGUGGACCGUGGGCCGAGGCGAGGCCAGAAGCUGCUUCCAUUCGUUGCCACGAGGAAAUUAAAGCGCACGCAACGGAUCGAUCGAGAGGCGCGACAUCCAUGCAGAAGGACGCGCCUUCCCCGCUGCCGCCGCCGGUGCGAUACUGCGGCGUUCUGGAAGACUACGAGCAACAGGUGGACGAGGAGCCACCCUCGCCCAAGUCGCCCAGCCGGGUCUCUUCCCCGCUGCCGCUGCGGAGCAGAAGCUGUCCGCCGCAUACCGCGCGGAGCUCCGGCGACAAAACGCCCUCAUAAACAACGGCCCACGCUACAGGUUUCGCCGCCCCGGCGAAAAGAGGAGGAGGAAGAAGAAGAAGAAACACAACAAGUCCAAGCACCACCACACGCCGCCGCCGCCUUCUCCAACGCCGAGGCCGAGCCCGCCUUCGCCGAUCUGCCCCUACGAGGAAUAUCCGACCUUCGAACCCGACGACCCAGUCUGGAUGCGGCAGAGCACGAUGUACGCGGAGGCGGUGCUGGAGCACUACAACGCCGCCGUCGACGUCGGCGGUGGCGGCGUCAAGUACGAGCUCGUCAGGGCCAUCUUCAGCGGCGCCAUCUUCACCUGCAAGGCCGCCUACGGCCACGUACGUCAACUUCAUCGCCAGGGCCAUUGGCGGCGGCAGCUCGUGCGACCAGCGGCUCUUCUUCGCCGAGGUGCGCAAGGACAAGAAACGGUAUAUCCCGACGUGCCUCUGGUCCCUGGACGACGAGGCCGACCGAGUCGGCGGCGCCGGCGCCGACCCGCAGGUGGACCUGCCGGAGAUCACCUCGCCGUCGCGGAGGAACUACUGGUUCAGCUGUGACGACGAGAUGAAGCAUCCCAAGGACGGAACAUCCUACCAUGCCGGACACUUCCUGUAGCCAUCUACUACGUCCAUUCCAAAAUAUAACAAUUUUUAUCUAUAAAUCUAGACAUAUAAUUUUUAUCUAUAAAUCUGGACAUACAGUUAUAUAGAUUCAUAGUUAAAAAUAUUUACAUUUUGGGACAAAGGGAGUAGCUAGCUAGCUACUUCAACUACAACUGCAUGUAUUAUAGGCCCUGUUUAGAUUUUAACUUUUUUCUUCAAACUUUCAACUUUUCAACUUUUUCGUCAGAUCGAACUUUCCUAUACAUAAAUUUUUCAACUUUUUCAUGCUGCAUACGUAGGUGGUGUGAUGAUGCACGGCGUCCGAUAUUUGACGUCCUACGCGGAGUCUUUUCCGAAGAAACGCAUUGUCGUUCGCGCGUUCCGCUGUUCCGCACGCGUGACCUGAUGCGACGCGGACACCGACACCGAGACGGUUUGGGACUGGAUCAGAGUAUCCGUCUAUAUAUUUCAUUCGUCGCCACGCGUCAUCAGAUCGAUCUUCCUAGUAGUGCUGAUCCAGAGACGAUCGAUCCAUGGAGCAGGUCGCGCCGCCGCCGGUGCGAUACUGCGGCGUCACGGAAGACUACGAGCAGCAGUUGGACGAGGAGCCACCCUCACCGCUGUCCCCGAGCCGGGUCUCUUCCCCGCUGCCGCUGCCGGAGCAGAAACUGUCCACCGCAUAUCUUGUGGAGCUCCGGCCGCGGCGCAAGAACGCCCUCAUAAACAACGGCCCACGCUACAGGUGUGGAGAUCAUGGGUAUCCCAUAUCUACACGGCGAUGGUAUUCGAGCUGGGCACAGGAUACCUAAUGUAGAUAGAAUUUCUUAUUUGUAUCUUGGGUUUGUUUCUUAACUUGUGUAUCAAGGAAACACCCUGAAACUUAGUCGGUUACGACUGUAUCUUACCUAUAUUUUCAUAUUCCGUUAGGGAUAUAGAUUAUCUUUUGUAACCCGGACUCCUUCCCAUAUAUAAGGGGGGUCCGGGCGCCUCUAGGGGCAUAUGUUGAUUUUUCUCGAAUCAUACAAUCAAUAAUACACUCGGCGGAUUCAUCCCCGGACAGGAGUAGGGUAUUACUUCUUUUAUAAGAAGGCCUGAACCUGUAUAAAUCCUUUGUCUCAAAACCCAUACACUUUUCCAGCUUGAUAGCCACCCCCUUUUAUUAUUGCCGAAAUCUAGUUUCGACAGUUGGCGCGCCAGGUAGGGGUAGCGUCAAGCUUUUCGCCGAUCAGUGCAAUGGGUCCUUUCUCCGGCAUCGACGACCUCGUCUUCCCACCCGGGCAGACGUUUCGGUUCGGCAGCCUCGACUUCGUCACCAACAACUUCGGCAAGAUUUCUCUCCUUGACUCGGAAUCGGACCAGUCGGGAGAGAACCGGAUCUCAGUCCCGUUUGGAUUCCCAAACGCGGCUGAAACCUACUUCAAGACCAUCUCAAUCGAGUCGGCUUCAAACCACUCGGCCGAGAUCGUACCUUCUCCAACGACACCAGAUCAAGAUGAUGGGGCUUACCCACCAGUCCUGAUGAAGCUCCCCGACGAUUUAGCGGCCGUCUUCACCACGACAGCGUCUUCAUCCCGUAGGCCUAGGCGGAAGUCGGCUUCAACACCGAUUUCGCCUAGCUUCAGGGAAGUCGGCGUCAUCCUCCAACCACUCGGCACGGUUUCGACGGAUCAACUAGAUGACUACAACAGCUCUCCCACCGUCGACUCACGUCCUACUGACAUCGUGGAGUACGACGAAUUUAGUUCUCGCUACAACGACUUCGACGACUUCGACGGAAGCCUUGAUGACAACUACACCCCUCUCUACUUUGGCGUUUUCAUGGCCAAUAAUGAGACGGAGGAGCAACGCCAAGCCCGGGAGACCGAAGAACGUCGCCGACUGGAGGAGGAGCAUCAAGCACAAGAACAAGAGCGGCUACGGCGUGAGCAGCAGGACCGUGAGCGGAUCGCCAAGGAGGCUGAAGAUCGACGUCAGCGAGCUUUGGAAGCAGGGCGCCGAGCGCGUGAUCUCAUCGGCCAACAAGACGUCGAAGGGACACCGGUUUUCCGCACCCCUCAACAGAAUGCGGUUGCCGCGAUCACCCUCCUCGACACCCUCCUCAACCAAAACGAGCUCAAUCGUUCCGACCACGUCGUCAACAUCUUGAACCAGACAAAGACCAUGAUUGCGGCCUCGGUUCCAGUUAACUCCGAAAGCGUCCACACGCCGACUGGCAGCCGAGUCCCCCACUUCCGAUCUCAUGACUACCGUCAUCCAAGCCUCAGCAUCACCGGCGCAGGAUCCAACCGCAGGAGCAGGGGUCACGACGAGCGGUCUGUUCACUCACCUCCCGACUUUCAUAGGGAGCGCCGAGUGGAACGGCCUCGCUCACCACCUCGUCGCCGCCCCAUCGAUCUUCGCGACACAAUCAUACAGCGCCGAGCAGCUCGAGGCUACCAUCACUCGCCGGACCGCCACGACGACGACCUUGAUGGAGUAGCAGCCUUCACCGACGACCUGCGUCGAGUGGAUUGGCCAGCCGGCUUCAAACCGACUGGAAUAGAGAAGUAUGACGGCACCACUAACCCUGAAUCGUGGCUUACCGUCUACAGUCUCGCAAUCCGCGCAGCAGGAGGUGACAACAAGGCCAUGGCGAACUAUUUACCAGUGGCUUUAGCGGAUUCCGCCCGAUCUUGGCUCCAUGGACUGCCCCGUGGUACGAUCGGAUCUUGGGCCGAAUUACGCGACCACUUCAUUGCCAACUUCCAAGGCACCUUCGAGCGUCCUGGCACACAAUAUGAUCUUUACAACGUUAUCCAGAAAUCCGGAGAAUCCCUUCGAGAGUAUAUCCGACGAUUUUCUGAACAACGUAACAAGAUCUCCGACAUCUCCGACGACGUCAUCAUCGCCGCAUUCACCAAAGGGAUUCGCCACGAAGAAUUGGUCGGCAAAUUUGGGCGCAAACCUCCCAGAACAGUCAAGCUCAUGUUUGAAAAAGCCAACGAGUACGCCAAAGCCGAAGACGCCGUCACCGCAUCGAAGCAGUCGGGUCCCAGUUGGAAACCGAAAAAUACGCCGGCUACGGGAGGAGGUGGAAGUAACAAUCAUAAGGACCGCAAGCGUAAGCCUGAGGAACUUGUUGCGACCGCCGCUCACUCUUCUCGACAGCGUUCGCGCGUCAACACCUUCGACAAGAUCAUGAACUCCCAAUGCCCGCAUCACCCAAACUCCAACCAUGUGGCCAAAGAGUGCUUCAUCUACAAGCAGUUCGCGGAGCAGUACACCAAGUCUACUCGGAAGAACUCCGACGAAGAGCAAAGCACGUCCAGGAAGAAGGAUGACGGCGACACCCCGGCUGGAUUUCAAGACCACCGCAAGGAGCUCAACCAUAUUUUCGGCGGCCCCAUGGCUUAUGAGUCUAAACGGAAGCAAAAGUUGACUGAACGGGAGAUCAAUGCUGUUCAGCCCGACACGCCCCAGUAUCUUCGAUGGUCAGAGAUUGCAAUCAAGUUUGACCGCUCGGAUCAUCCUGACCGAGUGGUCCACCCGGGGCGGUACCCCCUGGUACUAGACCCAGUGGUCCGUAAUGUCAAGCUUCGCAGAACCCUCAUUGAUGGCGGCAGUGCACUCAAUAUCCUCUUCGCCAAGACCUUGGAUGAUAUGCAGAUUCCUCGCUCCGAGCUAAAGCCAAGCAAUGCGCCUUUUCACGGAGUAAUUCCAGGAUUAUCCGCAACUCCACUCGGCCAGAUCACUCUUCCGGUCACUUUCGGCACUCGGGAAAACUUCCGCACGGAGAAUAUCAGCUUUGAAGUUGCCGAUUUCGAGACAGCAUACCAUGCCAUACUCGGACGCCCGGCGUUAGCCAAGUUCAUGGCCGUCCCGCACUACACGUACAUGAUGAUGAAGAUGCCUGGUCCCCGUGGAGUCCUAUCCCUACGGAGCGACAUCAAGCAAGCCGUCACAUGCGACAAGGAGAGUUGCGACAUGGCCCAAACCCGCGAGAUGGCGUCUGCCCGAGAGGAAAUCCGACUGGCUGCAACCACGGUGAGCGAAGGCGAAGUGCCCGCUGCCAAGAUUUCAAAAGGUGGGGAAACAGAAGCCGCGACUAAAAAGAUUCCCUUAGAUCCUUCUGAUCCUACCAAAACUGCUGUAAUAGGCGCCGAGUUAGAUUGUAAAUAGGAAAGCGCGCUCAUCACCUUUCUUCAAAAUAAUAAAGAUAUCUUUGCGUGGAAACCUUCGGAUAUGCCCGGUAUUCCCAGAGAGGUGAUUGAGCACUCCUUACAUGUCAAAGAAGACGCCAAGCCUAUUAAACAACGACUCCGCCGAUUUGCACAAGAUAGGAAGGACGCGAUCAAGGAGGAAUUGACCAAGCUGUUAGCAGCAGGCUUCAUCAAAGAAGUCCUUCAUCCCGACUGGCUGGCUAACCCGGUCCUGGUUCGGAAAAAGACAGGACAGUGGCGCAUGUGUGUUGAUUAUACCGACCUCAACAAGUCUUGUCCCAAAGAUCCUUUUGGGUUGCCUCGCAUUGACCAGGUAGUUGACUCAACCGCCGGCUGUGAGCUUCUCAGUUUUUUGGACUGCUACUCGGGGUAUCAUCAGAUCCGACUGAAGGAAUCCGACUGCUUGAAGACUUCAUUCAUCACGCCUUUUGGUGCAUACUGCUACGUCACCAUGCCGUUUGGACUAAAAAAUGCAGGAGCAACUUAUCAACGUAUGAUUCAGAGAUGUUUCUCAACACAAAUUGGCCGCAACGUUGAAGCCUAUGUGGAUGAUGUAGUCGUCAAGACCAAGCAAAAGGAUGAUUUGAUCUCGGAUCUAGAAGAAACCUUUGCAAGCAUCCGUGCUUUCAGGAUGAAAUUGAAUCCUGAAAAGUGCACCUUCGGAGUACCGUCAGGGAAGCUGCUUGGUUUUAUGGUGUCUCAUAGGGGCAUCCAAGCCAACCCGGAGAAAGUUACUGCUAUCCUCAACAUGAAACCGCCAAGCACUCAGAAAGAUGUUCAGAAGCUGACUGGAUGCAUGGCGGCGCUCAGCCGAUUCGUUUCAAGACUUGGCGAGCGGGGGAUGCCCUUUUUCAAGCUACUGAAGAAAACAGAUAAUUUCCAAUGGGGACCCGAAGCACAGAAGGCCUUCGAAGAUUUCAAACAACUCCUCAUCAAGCCACCGGUCUUAGCUUCACCACACCCGCAGGAGCCGUUGUUGCUGUAUGUAUCAGCCACCUCCCAGGUCGUGAGCACAGUCUUGGUUGUCGAGCGUGAGGAAGAAGGCCAUGUCCAGAAAGUUCAGCGACCAAUCUACUUCGUCAGCGAGGUCCUGGCCGACUCCAAAACGAGGUACCCUCAGGUUCAGAAGCUGUUAUAUGGUAUUUUAAUUACUACCAGGAAGCUGUCUCAUUACUUUCAAGGUCACCCGGUAACGGUGGUCACAUCGUUUCCACUCGGCGAUGUACUGCACAACCGCGAAGCAAAUGGGCGGAUUGCUAAGUGGGCUUUGGAGUUGAUGUCUUUGGACAUAUCAUUCAAGCCCCGCACUUCAAUCAAAUCUCAAGCGUUAGCUGAUUUCGUCGCCGAGUGGACCGAGUGCCAAGAGGAUACCCCCGUGGAGAAAAUAGAGCACUGGACCAUGCAUUUUGACGGGUCAAAAAGACUUUCGGGCACUGGAGCUGGAGUGGUUUUAAUUUCCCCGACUGGAGAAAGACUAAGUUAUGUGCUUUGGAUACAUUUUUCGGCGUCCCACAACGUUGCCGAGUAUGAAGCCCUCCUUCAUGGGCUACGGAUUGCGAUUUCCCUAGGGAUAAAGCGUUUAAUAGUUCGAGGCGAUUCACAGCUGGUUGUUAACCAAGUUAUGAAAGAGUGGUCUUGCCUUGACGACAAUAUGAUGGCAUAUCGACAAGAGGUACGCAAGUUGGAAGACAAGUUCGAUGGACUCGAGCUCAGUCACGUUCUUCGACACAACAAUGAAGCCGCCGACAGACUUGCCAACUUUGGAUCCAAGCGUGAGGCGGCGCCCUCUGAUGUUUUCGUCGAACACCUUUAUACGCCGACGGUACCUCACAAAGAUACCACUCAAGUUGCGGACACUCAUGAUGUAGCUAUGGUUGAAGCCGACUGGCGAGAGCCCUUCAUACGAUUUUUAACUUCUCAAGAGCUCCCUCAAGAUAAAGAUGAAGCCGAGCGGAUUUCAAGGCGGAGCAAACUUUAUGUUAUGCACGAAUCUGAGUUAUACAAGAAAAGCCCUUCAGGAAUUUUGCAACGCUGCGUAUCUUUAGAGGAAGGGAGACAAUUGCUGAAAGACAUACAUUCUGGGAUAUGCGGAAACCAUGCUGCUGCACGCACCAUUGUCGGCAAAGCUUACCGGCAAGGUUUUUUCUGGCCUACUGCAGUGUCUGAUGCCGACAAGAUUGUGCGCACGUGCGAAGGUUGCCAAUUUUUCGCCAGACAAAUUCACUUGCCAGCUCAAGAGUUACAAACUAUCCCGCUGUCUUGGCCGUUUGCGGUUUGGGGGCUCGACAUGGUUGGCCCGUUUAAAAAGGCAGUCGGCGGUUACACGCACCUCUUCGUGGCCAUUGACAAAUUUUCCAAGUGGAUCGAAGCUAAGCCUGUUGUCACGAUUACAGCAGAUAAUGCUCGCGAUUUCUUCAUCAACAUUGUGCACAGAUUUGGAGUGCCCAAUCGGAUCAUUACCGAUAAUGGCACACAAUUCACUGGCGGAGUUUUUAAAGACUUUUGUGAAGACUUUGGAAUUAAGAUUUGCUACGCUUCAGUGGCACACCCCAUGAGCAACGGACAGGUGGAGCGAGCCAAUGGCAUGAUACUUCAAGGGAUUAAAGCGCGUAUUUUUGACCGGCUAAAACCCUAUGCCGGCAAAUGGGUGCAACAGCUGCCAUCAGUACUUUGGUCUUUGCGUACUACUCCCAGUCGGGCCACAGGCCAGUCACCUUUUUUCCUUGUCUAUGGGGCAGAGGCAAUGUUGCCGAGUGAAGUCGAAUUUGAGUCUUUGCGCUUCCGUAAUUUCCGAGAAGAACGCUAUGAAGAAGACCGAGUGGACGACUUGCACCGACUGGAAGAGGUCCGCGAAGCAGCUUUGAUUCAGUCAGCUCGGUACUUACAAGGGUUGCGACGUUAUCAUAAUCGCAAUGUUCGAUCUCGCGCCUUUCUAGUCGGCGACCUGGUUUUACGGAAAAUUCAAACCACACGAGAUCGGCACAAGUUAUCUCCUCUAUGGGAAGGACCAUUUAUUAUCUCUGAAGUUACCCGGCCAGGUUCAUAUCGACUCAAGCGCGAAGACGGCACUCUCGUCGACAAUUCUUGGAACAUUGAACAUCUUCGUCGUUUCUACGCUUAACUUUAUCACUGUAUUUCCCUAUUUUGACUGUCAAACAUCAAGUUUUCUCCUUGAAGUUGUCAGUCGGGGGCUAUCAUCAUAAUAAUGGAGUGUGAUUUUUUAUCAAUUUAGUUUGCUUACUUGGUUUAUCAUUGCCUUGUUUGGUUUUUCUACUUAGUUUGCGAGGACUGAAAGUUUUUAAUAGCUUCUUUGGGUUCUAGGCUCAACUAAGCUUAGCAAAAACUUUUAAGAAAUCAAAAACUUCGCAAGAAUCAUCAAGCACAGCAUAAAUACACCAGUAUUGUACAAAUUGAGCCUCCAUGUAUUACAUUCAAACUCAGUCAGAAUCAGUCCUUUCAUCAUCAGAGUCUUCAUUACUCGGCUGGAGGUCGUUGUUGCGAAAUUGCUCUACAACAUCGCUCGCAAUUUUGUCAGCCGCAUUUUGCGCACUACUGAUAAGAUCAAGGGCAGCUUCUUCACUUGUCCCGUCUGCAAACCCAUCAAUGGUGUCAACCUCAAUUCUCGGGUACAAGGAUUUUGUCAUCGCCAAGGCCAUGCCAGCUCCCAUGCUUCCAGCUUUCUUGAUAUUCUUGAAAUAUACUUCCGGAGCAACACUCAGCUUGUCAAAUAUUUCGGUUGCGUCGAGUGCACUCGGACCACCAUUAUUGAGGAACAUGGCUUGGAUAAUUGGUGCAGCGGCAUUGGCGACGUCAUCUCUUGCUCCUUCAAGCCUCUUGAUCUUACCAACCAGGACGUCAAACUGAGCUUGAGACUUGAUUUUACGGUCUACAAAACACAUUUAUAAUCAGAAUCUACUGCAUUUAAAAGAGGAAAGUUCAGAUCAUCAGCCGGCAGUACCUUCAACUUCUUUCACGGCUGAGUCCCUUUCUGCAGCCAGCUCUGUUUUGUCUUUUUUCAAGGCUUCAAUCUGUUUUUCCAUCUGAGCUAUUCUGGUGGCUUGCGCUGUUUGAAAUCCAAGUGUUUGAGGAUGCAAUUAUGACAGCAUAAUUCAAUGGAACAGAUCUGGAUGAUUACCUUUGGAUGAACCACUCAGCUCAUAGUUUGAAUCCUGGAGCUGAGCGAUUCGGUCCCUUAACUCCUUUUCCGUCUUCUUGGCGUGCUCCUUGGCCUCAUGUAGCUGGUCCCUAACCGCUUCAAGAGUUCCCAAAUGAGGAACCAGCUUUUCCAAAGUUGUAGUCUUGGCCUCAUUGCGAAGAUGGAUUCUCUGCACGAUGGUUCACGGUUAGGUUCUGCUAAAAAGAAAACAAAGUUACCGAAGGCCGUCACCCGGAAGACUUACAUUUACAAUACGAGUGGCUUCUCCGAGCGCUUUCUUCAGCUGGCACACUUCUUCAUCUUCUUUUUGACGGUUUAUGACUAUGCCUGCGGCUUGUGAGUUCUCGUCCCACCAUUUGAUCAAGAUAGGAGGACGAGAGUCGUCGGUCGCCUUUAUGCGAGGGAUUUCUUCUCCGUCAUCUCCUGAUGGUCCUGAUGUGUUUCCAAGCCAUUAGACAGAUAAACUGAGGUUAUUUAAAUCGACAUUGUUUGAGAAGACAACUAACCUGAAGAUGUACCUGGCUGAGCGUGAAGUGAUCUUUGUUCUUUACCCGGAGACCCGAUUGUCGAGUCGUUACCAGCCUCUGGUCCUUGCGAAGUCGUCGUCUGCGUUUCUACUUCGGGAAUUUCUUGAUCAGGGCCUGCGUCCGACUGGUUUCCAGUCGGGGGCUCUUGAGUUGUUGCCGUUUCAGUUGUUGCCGACUGGUUUCCAGUCGGCGGCAGGUCACUCGGAUUGGCCCUAUCUCCCGAAGCAUGGGCGCCAGUCGGCUGGCUUUCAGCAGUCGGCUGGUUUUCAGUAGUCGGCUCGGAGUCCUUGGAUAUAUUUUGCUCUGUCUUAGCCGGAUCAGGGUCUUUUCCAGAUGGAUCUAUAUCAGAUGGUUUCCUGCAGAGUGUUUUUUCAGUAUUUAGCAUUAUUUUCAUCGGAAAGCAUGCUGAAGCGGAAUUAUACCGAGAGGUCUAAUACCUGGAAGAUGUUCUGAUCUUUGGCAUUGCGCGGCCAGCCAGUUUUUUCCUGGGCAUGGUGCGCUUUGGGGGUUUGUUAGGCGAGCCCUUAUCCCCAGUUUUAUCAUCGUCGCCUUCAUCAUCAUCAAGUACCAGUUUUCUCUUGCGAGGACCUGUUUGACCAGCCAAUUUGGAGGUCUGAGGUUGCGGAUCUGGUCUGAUCGUUGGCCCUCCACCUCCCUGAGCGGUGUGUUGGCGAGGAGACCGGCGCUGAGAGACUGGUGGAUCUGACUUCAUCAAUGCAUAUUCCUGCACAAGAUGCUUCCAUAGUUAGUCAAUUCAGCAUGAAGAUAAAACUAUGUUCUGAUCAUGGUUUGAUAGUUUCCGAUGCAUACCUGUGGAGGCGGAUUGAAUGCGUUGAAUGGCACGACCGGCAGUUGGUGAGAGUAGCUGACUACAAUUGCAUUUGAGAAGAUUUUAUACAUCCUCUCCUUCAUGAUUUUGAAAUCCAAGGAGUCUGGUUCUUCACGGUUGGGAUCAUGUUUGCCGUCGAACUCGAAUGCUGUGCGGGAUCUUUCCUUAAUUGGCGCCAGUCGGCAUUUGAUGAAGUGCCGAGUGAUUUGCUCUCCCUGUAAGCCUUGUUCUUUAAGAUUUAACAUACGAUCCAACAACUCCAAGGCUUGUACUGCUUCAUCUCCGAUCGGAAGAGAGUUCCAAGUGUCUUGGUACAUUGGAGGAAGACAAGAGUACCCGGGAAGAGCAGGCUCGGGAUUCUGAACAUAGAACCAGUUCGCAUGCCAUCCUUUGUUCGAAGUCUUGAAGGGCAUCGAGAAAUAUUUUUGGCUUAGAGUUCCCCUUAGUUGGAAUCCUGCCCCCCCGACUACACACGGUUUGUUCUUGUUUGGUUGGGGUUUGAGGAAGAAGAUCCGGCGGAAUAGGGCAAAGUGAGGUUUGAUCCCCAAAAAGGCUUCACAAGCAUGGACGAAAUUGGCGAUAUGCACUAUGGAAUUCGGGUUUAGGUGAUGCAAGCUGAUUCCAUAGAAAUUCAAGAUCCCGCGGAAAAAUUUUGAGGUCGGAAGAGCAAAGCCGCCGUAGAAGAAAUGCGAGAAGACCACAAUCUCAUGAGUAUCCGGAGACGGGAAAGCCUCACCGUGCGCUGGUCGCCACCCGAUGAUUUCCUUGGCAGGGAGAACGCCGUGCGCCACCAUCUCCUUAAGAUUCUCCUCCGUUACGUCGGAUGUCGCCCAUUGGCUUUCGAAGCUUUCUCCCUCUUCCGCCAUCGGUUUCACUCAAAUGUGCUGAUUUGAUUCGAGGGAUGGCUUGGGAGAGGUGAGGGAUUGAGGCGGUGGAUCACGAGAAGGAUUUUGAUGCACUUUUCGGAGGUGGAUUUGGUCGGAGUUGUGAACCCUAGUUCGCAGGCGCAGCUUUGCACUGUAGCAGGGAGUGGGGAAAAUGGCGAGAGUUCCGGCGGGGAAGACGAAGCGUCGCUUGGAUAUCGGAUUUUUCAGUUAAGGGUAUCGGAGGUGCUAAUGGGCCUAGGCCUGAACAGUACUUCAGCCCAAUACUUUUAACAGCGUGGCCCAUUGUGUUCCUUAGGGACUUAGGCAUAUUUUGCUUUGGCAAUAUUAUGCGCACAACAGUGUUGCCCAAUGCUGAUAAAAUCCUUUUUAUGCGGUCAUAUAAUUCUUUGGAAUUAUUGCAAUGCAAAUUAAAAAGGUGCCCGACAGAAAGGCGUUAUGCUGUUUUUGCAAGCUUUUUUAGGCUACAAAAACUGUUUGGGUUAACUAGGAAUGACUUGUUUUUAUUAUAGUCAUUUCCUUGGCGUCUUAUAUGCCUGUUUUUAUGGUAAAUAGUCAUGGCCUAGGCUAUUUGACUUAUUUAUUACCAUAAUCUUUAUAAUACUUGAUGAGUAAUCUUUAGAGUUUUUAUUCGGAUGCCUGUCAAGUGUGUUCAUUCGUGAACCUUUUAGAGUGUAAACCACUCGGAUUUCUUUUAUUGUGGCUAAAAAGCAGUCGGCUAGCAUGCCUAUUUAGGCGCCGCGUACGCUUUUGUCAUAUAAUGCACAAUUGUGUUAUUAUUUUGUCUUUCAACUAUAUGUUUAGUUUGUUAACUAAUCACAUAGUUGGGGGCUACACCUAAUUAGGUGCAUCUAUUCGAUGCACCAUAUUCUUUAUCUUUUCGCCCUUUACAGUCCACUCGGCAGAUUUUGGCUUGAAGAGUUUGAAGUACUCGGAUUAUCAUCUUUGAGAAGGCUACGAUGGUCGACUGCAAAGGACUCGGGGGCUACUGUGGAGAUCAUGGGUAUCCCAUAUCUACACGGCGAUGGUAUUCGAGCUGGGCACAGGAUACCUAAUGUAGAUAGAAUUUCUUAUUUGUAUCUUGGGUUUGUUUCUUAACUUGUGUAUCAAGGAAACACCCUGAAACUUAGUCGGUUACGACUGUAUCUUACCUAUAUUUUCAUAUUCCGUUAGGGAUAUAGAUUAUCUUUUGUAACCCGGACUCCUUCCCAUAUAUAAGGGGGGUCCGGGCGCCUCUAGGGGCAUAUGUUGAUUUUUCUCGAAUCAUACAAUCAAUAAUACACUCGGCGGAUUCAUCCCCGGACAGGAGUAGGGUAUUACUUCUUUUAUAAGAAGGCCUGAACCUGUAUAAAUCCUUUGUCUCAAAACCCAUACACUUUUCCAGCUUGAUAGCCACCCCCUUUUAUUAUUGCCGAAAUCUAGUUUCGACAACAGGUUUCAUCGCCCCGGCGAAAAGAGGAGGAAGAAGAAGAAGAAGAAAAACAAGAAGAAGCCCAAGCAGCACUACACGCCGCCGCCGCCGCCGCCGAACUACGAGGUGUUUCCGACCAUGGAGCCCGACGAUCCGGACUGGAUGCGGCAGAGCGUGAUGUACGCGGAGGCGGCGCUGGAGCACUACAACGCCGCCCUCGUCGUCGAGGGCGGCGGCGGCGGCGUCGUCAACGAGCUCGUCAGGGCCAUCAUCAGCGGCGUCAUCAUCACCUGCAGAGCCGACUACGGCCACGUCAACUUCAUAGCCAGGGCCGCCGCCAGUGGCGGCGGCACCUUGCGGCAGGAGGAGCGGCUCUUCUUCGCCGAGGUGCGUAACGACGGUGAAGGUUGGAUACCGACGUGCCUCCGGUCCCUGGACGACGAGGCCGACCGAGUUGGCGGCCUCGCCGCUGGCGACGACCCGCCGGUCGGCCGGUGGAAAUCCCGGAGAUCACCUCGCCGUCGCGGACGGACUUCUGCUUCAGCUGUAACGGCGAGAUUAAGCAUCCCAAGGACGGAGAAUCCUACCAUGCCGGACACUUCCUAUAGCUAGCUAGCUGAACCCUGAACAACUGAUGUAAUUACGAAUUUAAGAUCGAUACAAAAUUUUCAGUUGAUGUUAUUAGCAUAUCCCUGGAGGCAAUAAAAAAAUCCACAUAUUUUGGAAACUCUCUAUUAAGUGAAUUUAGUUUAUUUUUUGUUUUACAAAAAAUGUUUUACCUAUUGUACUCAUAAUGUUUCAUUAUGUAUAGAUCUAAUGUUGCAUUGAAUAAAAAUAUUCCAUUGCAAAAAAAAACCCAUAUAUUUUGAAAACCCCCUAUUUAGGGAAUUCGUUUUAUUUUUUGUUCCACCGAAAAAUGUUUCACCUAGUGUACUUAUAAUGUUUCACUAUGUAUGGAUCAACUGUUGCAGUUAACUGAAACAUUCUUUCGAUAUUUGUUGAAACAUUGUUUUUAUAUAAGGUGAAACAACACCCGAUCUAAACGAGUGAAACAUUUUCGAUCUACUUAGUGAAACAAUUCCGAUAUACCUGGUAGAACAUCGUGCAAUAUUUAAAAUUAUUCAAUAAUAAGCUAUUUUUUUCGUCGGAAUAUAUCCAUGUGUGGUCUUGUUUUUAAGAUUUAAUUGCAACGAAUUUAAUGGUGCAAUCGGAUCAUGAUUUGGAUAAGUAAUUUAAGAGAAAAAUAAGUUUAAAGUAGUUUUGCACGUAAAUCGGUGCUGACGUCAGCGCCCGAUUUUACUCCAAAUCGCUCGGGCGCCCGAGCCGUAGGCAACCCAAAAUUAUUUGCGCCACGCGCGUACGUGUACAAUGGUGUGGUACUAUGACAGUUGAUGUUUUUUCAAAAAUUUAUAUCCCAAUAGGUUCUAUGAAUAUCAUACUAUUUAUAAGAUUUUAUUUGAUUUUUUUCUUUUUUAUCAAUUCAGAUUUGAAUUUGGAUGAAACUCAUCGAAAUCUCAUACAGCUUACUACUUUCGAGCCUCAUCGAAAUCUCGAAAUUUCACUGUAUUUGACCGGUCUUUAUUGGAAUUAUGAACCCUGGUGCUGUGCUGUGUCGUCUGAGAAGCUGUUUUUACAGCAUUGUUUGGUGUAAAUUGAUAUCCCCUUCGUGACUCUGUCUGGAUAUGUUGCCUAUAUCUUUAAGGCUGAGUUCGUUUGUUGCAGUCAGAAAGUACUCAUUAGCAUAUAAUUAAUUAAGUAUUAGCUUUUUUUAAAAAAAUGUAUUAAUAUGGUUUUCUAAAGAAAUUUUCGUAUAGAAAUUUUUUUAAAAAAUACACUGUUUAAUAGUUUAAAAAGCGUGCAUGUGAAAAUUGGGGGAUGUGAGCUGAAAAAGGUAACAAACGAACAAAGUCGAUGAAUCUGUCCACGUCCCGUAUUAAGUUUGUUUAUUUUAGGUAAGGAUGUAAAUGUUUUGUUCAAGCAAUGGGCAUUUGAUCGGAAGAAAUGUCUUCACAGAUUUGUUCAGCCAAUAAAAAAAUAUUAUUAAACUCUCCUUACUGUGUAUGCUUGCUGAAAUCUCUCGUUGAAGAUUCCACGUGAGUAUACUCAAAGCUGAAAGGGACCCAAUCACAAACUCACAAUGCAUGAAGUACCACAUGUAAAUAAAAAUUAGCAUGGCCAAUUGCCAUUAUUUUUGUGUUCAAAUGUUCAAAGCCUGAGCUUCCCCGUCAUGUUAGAAGUCAGGCUUCUUUGGAAAUGGGGGAUGAAUAUGUGCAUGUGCAGCCGUUUAGGAUGGACCUAUGGACUGGUGAAGUACACUGAACUCAUUACCAUAUUGCAAAUCUUAUUUUACUGUCCAGAUUUACGGAUCCUGACAAGGACACGUCAUGCCACAGUGCCACUUGUGCAACAGGUUGGAAAUGUAUACACGAAUCAUUUGCCAACAUGGUACUUGCAUUGCAUAGUUUGGUCCAAGGAAACUGCCCAUUGACGCAAAAUAACUGGCAGACUGAAUUUAGUCUUAUCACCUUCGUAGUAGUAUAUAGAAUGUUAGAAUCUCACUUUUUUCUGCAAGUUUGGGCAGCUAGUUCCGAUAACAGCUUGCAUUGCUUGUCAUUUGAAAGAUCAGCUUGAAUGCGGCAACCACCAUGGAUGCAAUCUUCACCUCUCUGCUUCUCCUCACAUUGAUCCAUCUGCUUUUGUACUCCUCCUCAGCUCUUGAAUCCCUCUUGCCAGGCUCCCCUCUCUCUGUUGAACGCAGCUUGGAUCUGCUCUACUCACCAGAUCGUACUUUCACCUGUGGCUUCUACAAUAUCUCCCCCAAUGCCUCCACCUUCUCCAUCUGGUUCUCAAACUCCUCCGAGAAAACUGUUGUCUGGAGCGCAAAUCCUCUCCACCCUGUGUACACAUGGGAAUCAAAAUUUGAGUUGAAAUCCGAUGGCGGCAUGCUGUUGAAAGAUUAUAAUGGCCAGGUUGUGUGGACCAACAACGUGAGCUCUUCAAAUGCGGAGCAAGUUCAAGCUAAGCUCUUGAAUACUGGAAACCUCAUCGUGAAGAGCAAAGGUGACACCAUUCUAUGGGAAAGCUUUGCUUUUCCUACUGAUACCUUGCUACCCACUCAAAACAUUACUGCUCGAAUUAAGCUCAUAUCUACUAAUAGAUUACUUGCCCCUGGUCGCUUUAGUUUCCACUUUGAUGAUCAAUAUCUACUUUCGCUGUUUUAUGAUGAGAAGGAUCUCUCGUUGAUCUACUGGCCAGAUCCAACUCAGAAUAUCUGGGAGAAGCACAGAAAGCCGUUUAAUAGCACUGCAAACGGUGCUGUUGAUAGCCAGGGACAUUUUCUUGGAAGUGAUGAUGCAAACUUCACAGCUGCUGAUUUGGGUCCUAGGAUUAUGAGGAGAUUAACACUAGAUUAUGAUGGCAAUCUCAGGUUGUACAGUCUGAACGAUUCAAGCGGAACAUGGUCAGUCACAUGGAUGGCAUUUCCUCAGCUCUGCAAUGUACGUGGUGUGUGUGGUAUAAAUGGAAUAUGUGUGUAUAGGCCUGCGCCUACAUGUGUGUGUGCCCCUGGUUAUCAGUUCAGUGACCCAAGCGAUUGGAGCAAAGGCUGCAGCCCAAAGUUCAAUAUCACUAGAGAACAGAAAGUAAGGCUCCUUAGGCUCCCAAACACUGAUUUCUUAGGGAAUGAUAUAAGGGCUUAUCCUCAUGUUUCUUUGCACGAUUGCAAGAAGAUAUGCUUGAAUGACAGCAACUGUGUGGGGUUUGCAUACUGGCAAGGAAAAGGUUAUUGCUAUCCGAAGACUGCUCUUCUUAGUGGUGUAAGCUUAAUUGGUAGUACUGGUACCAUGUAUAUUAAGCUUCCUCAGGAAUUAAAAGUGUCGGAUCAUCAAGUCCCCCGUUCACAGCCUUUUGAUCAGAAAUAUGUCAAAUACUGUACUACAGUUGACAAAUAUUUUGUACCGGAUUUCUUGGAUAAGCUUAAGAGCGGUCAAAAUGAAUCGAAGUAUUGGUACUUCUAUGGUUUCUUGUCAGCAAUAUUUGUUGUAGAGGUAUUAUUCAUUAUAUUUGGAUCACUUAUUUUGCAAAGGGAGGACAAACAACUAAGAGAACUAGCUGAGGUUGGCUAUGAAAUGAUAACCAACCAUUUUCGCAGAUACACCUACAGAGAGUUGGUGACAGCUACUAGAAGGUUUCAGGAUGCAAUUGGACAAGGAGCAUCAGGCGUUGUAUACAAGGGGGUCUUGAAGGACAAGAGGGUAGUAGCUGUGAAAAAGUUGCUAGACAUAAACCAGGGGGAAGAAGAAUUUAAGCAUGAACUGAGUGUGAUUGGCAGGAUCUACCACAUGAAUCUAGUGAGGGUUUGGGGAUUUUGUUCUGAUGAUUCACACAGGAUAUUGGUUUCAGAAUACGUGGAGAACGGUUCAUUGGAUAAAAUAUUGUUUGACAGUCAGGAAUCACAAGCCUUACUAGAAUGGGAGCAAAGAUUUAAGAUUGCUCUAGGUGUGGCUAAGGGAUUGGCAUAUCUUCAUCACGAGUGCUUGGAGUGGGUCAUCCACUGUGACAUAAAACCUGAAAAUAUACUGCUUGAUGAGAAUUUGGAGCCAAAGAUAGCUGACUUUGGCCUUGCAAAGUUGCUACAUAGAGGAGGAUCCAAUUUAAACGUGUCACGGAUCCAAGGAACUAGAGGCUAUUUAGCGCCUGAAUGGGUUUCUAGUCUUCCGAUAACAGCAAAGGUUGAUGUCUACAGCUUUGGAGUGGUGCUUCUAGAACUACUAAAAGGAGCUCGUGUUUCGGACCUUGAAACAAACAAAGAUGAGGAGGUGGAAAUGGUUCUCGGAAGAAUCAUUAGAAUGCUAGCAGAGAAUCUAACGUCUGAUGGGGAUGAACAGUCAUGGAUUGCUGACUUCAUUGACGCCAGAUUAAACACUCGAUUCAACAACUUGCAAGCAAGAGUGAUGAUGGAGCUUGCAGUUUCAUGUCUGGAAGAAGACAGAGCCAGAAGACCCACCAUGGAAAGUGUGGUGGAGAUGCUUGUUUCUGUUGAUGAAGCCGGUUGAACAAUGUUGGAGUCUUCUAUUUCUGGGUGAAGAGAUCUGUCGUUUGACUGUGUGGUAAAUUUUCUCGCAAGAUAUCAUCUACUAUACUACUAUAAAUGUGUCCAAGCCAGUGAAUGUAUCAUUUUAUUAAUUAUUAUGUACUACAUACACAAUGUGUUGUUUUAGAAAUAACAGUACUGGAACUAAAGUGCAAUAUUUUGUUGCAAUAAUGCCAACUAUGACUGAAGAGUGGAUCAGAUCAGGCAGUUUCCAUUGGUCUCCCGUGUCCUCCUAUUGAUAAAAGCUAAAUUAUAGUGCUGAUAUUUGCAUAGCAUCUUGGCAUACAAUAUAGUUCUAGCCUGGUACGCUACGCUUAUCCAUAGCUCGUUCCCUUGGCAGAUUUGGGACUCGUUUUGAGCUCUUCACAGCGCCAGCACAGCUGCUGCUGUGAUUCAACUUCAUUCAGGAUCGGAUGAGUCGCGGCAUCAGAUUUUGGCAUCAAUUUUUCAGUUGGAAGUUUAACCGGACGAAUGCCCGCACUCCCCAUGUCGACGAUCCCCUUUCUACACCCAAACAAACCUAAAUGACCUCGUGCGGGACACAGGGACAGAGAGAGAGGGAGCAAGUAUUCCUCACACCAGCGCCAGUGGAGAUUCGGAGAUGGAUCCUGCGCUGCGCCGCACCGCGGGCGCCUCCAGCUGCCCACCGAUGCGCGUCGCCGGCGCGCGGCGGGAGGGCGACGGCCGACGGCGACGAGGCCACGAGGCGGCGCAGGGAGCGACAUGCUGUGGGAAUAAGUUCAUUCUAGGUCCCUUAACUUGACACUGAAUCUGAUUUUCGUCCUCGAACCGAAAAACCAGAUACAUCACAUCCUCCAACUAAGCCUGCCAAUGGGUUGGCAUCCACCCCGAAUCCAACCCAACCCAAAGUGACUAUAGCAAAAUUGUCACUCCAAUCCAUACCAAGAAUUCCUUGAGCUAACCCCACCCAACCCAACCCACAAAGUUGCUCAGUCCAGAUUCAACACAAUCCACGGGUGGAAUCCAUUUUCCAACCCAUACCCAAUCCACGGCAGGAAGCAGAGCAGAGCAGAGCAGCCGGCGAACACUCACGCUGCAUACAGCUACUAGCAUACUUACAAAUAACAUAAGCAAGAUGCAAAAAUAAUCAAUCAACACUACUAGCAUACUUAGAACUUUUGAUGCUUUAAGUAGUGCCAUCCAACAAGUUUUGGCAACUAAAUAUUACAAUUAUCACUAGAGAUUCUACUAGAGCAACAGGCUCAAGAGAAAAUCUCUAACAAAAAAAGCUAUCAAGCAUUACAAGCCUCAGAACCAUGUAUAACUGAACACCAAUAAUUUCUUCAUGUCUCAAUCUUUAGAUUACCUUCUAAGAUAACCAAAACCAAAAACCCUUCCAAUUCUCAGCCACACAUUCUUGCAGAUGACAGUAACCUGAAAGAAGUAGAUGUCAUCAAAAAUUUAUAUCCAGGAAUAACUAGAAAAUUGUGAGUUCGUUGCUUAAGAAAGCAAAUAUACAAAAUUACAAUAACAAUUUAAAUAAUGUGACCUUUGCAGUGUUAUCAAAACAAUGUGCCAAAUUGAUUCAAUUGGUAAAUAAUGAAUAGUAACAUUUUAUAUACAAACAGAAUAGGCAACAAAGUGGUAAACUCAAUUUUGGAAAAAUGCAGGUUCAAGAGAAGUAUUCCAUUCCAAAUUUCCAAUACGCCAAAGGAAAAGUUGAAUUUAAAGUUGCAUAUAUGUAUAUGGAAAGUCACCUUUCCAUCUUCUUCACUUCACCACCUGAAUAAAUCAGGACAAAUUUCCACCUGUAAAUGAUAUAUGAUCACUACUUCAUGAUUGAAAUACACAGAACAUUUAUGGAGGAAUCAUUUAUCACUAUUAUACCUUCAGCACCUGGAAUAUUGAUCAAAGGAUCGUUGGCUUUAAUUAACCAAUCUUUCGCACAAAUGAGAGCUUCAAGCAUUUCAGGUGUUAACGAACUUCGUGUGUCACCAAGUAUCCUGCCCCCACAACUGAAUGCUGAUUCGGAAGAUACAGUGCUGAGGGGUAUUGCUAGGAAAUCUCUGGCCAUAGAUGACAAUACUGGGAAUUUUUGAGCAUGUCUCUUCCACCAGUCCAAAACAUCGAAACUCUCACUAUCCUCCUCAACAUCUUCUUCUAAAUAUAUGGCAAAUUCUGAUUUCGUUUGCCGUGCAGUUCUCCUUCGAGACUUGUAUAAAGCAAACUCUUCCUCGAGUUUUCUUUUCCCAAGAACAGGUGAUCCAACACUGUUGCUGCCUUCACAAGAAUGUGAAAGCAUGUGUUCAUCAUUUCUUCUUACAAACCCUUCGUAUUUUUCAUAAUAAUCCUUCAACCAAUCUUCAGCAGAACCCACUUUUUUGACAAUCUCUGUCACACUGUUAGAUGUUUUCUCAUAAAAGAAAUUCAAAUAAUCUCCUUUUCUUCUUGGAUCUAACAUUGUGGCAAUGACAAGUGCAGAGUUAAACCCACUGUCCCAAUAUUUGACAAACUUUGAGAGCAUAGCUGCAGCCAAUACCUUUAAAAUAUCACUAGUCUGCCAAUCAGGGUCAUUCAAUGCAUGACGAAUUUGUAGCACCAAGGGCAAGAACCUAUGUGCUGUUGGUUUCCUAUCUGCUGACACCGAUAAUGUAGCUUCUUCAAAAGCUUUAAGAAAAGCACAAAUUGAUUCAACUUUCUGCCAUUCUAGUUCAGUAGGUGCAACUUCACCAUGUUGAUUUGCAUAGCUAUCCAGGACAGAUAUGUACAUUAAUCCUUCUACAAUCAUUUUAUAGGUGGAAUUCCAUCUAGUCGGUGUAUCAAAAGAAAAACUCAACUUCGAAGGAAGAUUUUUCGAGUUUGCCAUAGAAUUGAAAUCUUGCAUUCUUGAUACUGAAGAAUCUAAAUGCUUCAACAACUCACGUAGCUUGUGUAUUAUAGGUUUAAUUAUCUUCAUACCAUCCUGAACCAAAAUAUUUAGGAUAUGGGCACAACAUCUAACAUGCAAAUGCUGACCCUCAAACAUCAAUGCAUUCUUGUGAUUCUUUAUCAACUCUUGACAUGCAGAAUUGUUAUUACUGGCAUUAUCUAAAGUUAUAGUAAACAGUUUGCUCUAAUGCCUCAAUAUGUCAAGCAACUCAUUAUAGCUUCUUCAAUGGCGAAUCCCGUGUGGGGAUACUUCAAUUCCUUAAAGCUUAUAAUUUUCUUCUUAAUGUUAAACUCUCUAUCAAUAUAGUGUGCUGUGACAACCAUGUAGCCUAUAUUUUGAAUUGAAGUCCACAUAUCGGAUGUUAGACAUACGUGCGAAUCAAGAUUAUGUAAUUCAGCAUGCAAGUCUUCCCUCAUUCGCUCAUACAAGUUAAAGGCAUCAUCACGAAGUGUUUGACGCCCCACAACUUUGAAAGUUGGCUGCAUGGACUCCACCCACUCCAAAAAAUAAGGAUCCUCAAUUUUCUUGAAUGGCACCUCUGCAUGAAUGAAGAAUCUGACCAUUAGCUCCCGGCUUCUCUUGGGAACAAACACGAAACCUUCCCCAGUCUGUUUCUUAAUUGUUGCAAGGAAGUUGAUUCUAGCAUCACCAUCAAUAGCUGGACAUGAUUCGGCUAUGUGAUUAAUAAGGUGACUUGUUCCUGACUUUUUGGUGGCUGUCAAUCUUAAGCUACAAUAUUUGCAUUGAGUCUUGGGGACACCAUCUAUCAUUACAACCUCUUGCUGAAAGUGUUCCCAUACUUUAGCUCUCUUACGUGUUCUUGAAGAUUGAUUAUUAUUUGGACUAUUAGUACCUGAACUCUCUGACAUUUGUAUGGACAUAUUUAUUAUUGAGUUUGUUCAAUUGUCUGCAUAGAGGAAGAAAUCUAAAAUCAAGAUAGUUGAAAGAACAUGGUCUAUAAUUAUUUUUUUCACACAUUGUACAUGUGCUACAAUCUAAAAAUUGCACACUAAAAUUCGAUUGACCAUAGAAUUAAUUUGCAUCUCAAAAUCAUAUCAGGACUCAAUCUGUAAUGAUAUGUUAAAUAAUUUGCAUUGGGAGAUGAAGGGAACCUGCAUUCACUAUACCUCCUUAUCUUCUUCUUGAAAUCUUGGAACUCCUGCACAUAAACCCAUCGAAGAUUGUAAUCUUGAGCAAGUUAACUCCUCAGUAAAACCAACAAAAAAAACAAAAUCUUAUAGAAACUAUCACACCAAUCACACUGUUCACAUACGUCGUGGUACUUGGGCUUCUUAGGGAGAUUGGCGACGCGGCCGGACCGCCAGAGGAGGACAUCCUCGCCAGCGCCCGGCGGCGCACGCACCUUCCUCUUCUUCUGCUUCACCUGUACCCGCAACCACCAAGAUCAGGAAGAGACCCAAAAAAAAACACAAACAAAACAACCAGGAUAUAUCAAAGACCGAGAAAAACCAGGGAAAAAGAAAAGCAAUGGUGGUGGGGGAGGGAAUCUGACCGGCGACGGCUUGGCGGCGGAUUCGCGGACGGUGGCGGAGAGGUGGAGGAGGCGAAGCAAGGGGAGGGAGCGGCAGCGGCGGAAGGAGUGGAGCCGUGGACGACUGAUGACGCUAGGUUUGGACUUUGGAGAGUACUGGACUGUCUAGUGCAUCCAAAGAAAUCCAUGGACUGAAUCCAAUUUGGAUCCAAAAAUCAGAAACCAAAAACCAAUCCAAUCCAAACCGUUUCCACCUCCACCCUAACCAGUCCAGCCCAUUAAACUCCUCAAUCCAUUUCCAUCCAUCCAAACUACACCCAAAGCUGAAACCAAUCCAUUGGGCCCAUUUCAAUCUAGCCCAUUGGCAGGCUUACCUCCAACUUAUAAAAUCAGUACAAAUGAAGUCCCUCGGCGAUAUUGAACCUGGUUUUGGCUGACGUGUCGUCGACAUGGCUUAUUUGACUAAGUCUUCGUACCACGUGGCAAUGAUGUGGCGCUUAAGUGGCAAUCUAAUCUAAAAAAUAAUAAAAACUGUGGGACCCACAAAUCAGGCACAUACAAAAUAAUAAAAAAUGUGGGACCACGCGGGACCCACAUGAUGGGGUCAUUCUUCUGUGUUCGCAACCGGAAAUCCCCAAUUCACCGGCGGAUACGACGCAUCUAGCCGGGGGCUCGCCGGCGAGAAGCAAAUCGACACCGCCGCCAGAAUGUGUAACGGAAUCAGCUCGUGCAGGUAAGACGAGCGGGCGGUUUUCCGGCGGCCGCUGCCAUCGUUCGGGCUCGAGCGGAGGGCCGCAUGUCGGGCCACGCGGGCUUCUCUCCGUCGGGCGCCACCCUUCUCUCCAUCCUCUCUCUCUCUCAGUUGCUUGGCGGUGGAGCGGGGCGGUCGGAGCAGGCGACGGGCGGGGCAGAGCGAGGUGGGCGGCGGCGUCCGGAGCAGAGCGGCACAGCCGCACAGGCGAGGAGCAAGGCGGCGGAGGACGACGACAGCGCCGACGCCGUGGAUAACACUAAGUCGGGGUUCUUCGGCACGCAGUCUUCGUCGUCGCGCCUCGCGGCGAGGCCCGUGCCUGUCCCGGCGGCCCCAUAGCUCGGCGUCGGGGUGGCGGUGGACGCAUUGGUGGUCGGCGAGGACGGGCGGCCGAGAUGGCAAGCUCGAGCUCGCCGGCUCCCCUCUCCUCUCCCUCGCCUCUGUCCUCUCCUCAUCGGCUGCCGCUUGCCGCGGACGGGUUCGCUACCUCCUCCUCGCGAACCUCCGACUGCCACAGCCGCCUCUUCUCCGCCGCCGCGGAACGCCGUGGCUCCCUACUCACCGGUCACCUCCCAAUGCUGCUGCAGAGGCGGCACAGGGGGAGGAGGAUGGAGGCGGUGGGCCGGCGAGGGCCGGGGGAGGAAGGGAGAGAAAGGCGGCGGUUCGGAGGUGGAGUGCGGCGGUGGCGCGCGAGGUCGCCGAGGGCGCCGCCGGCUGCCCGCCUCGCUCGCCUGCGGGAAGAGGGUGAGGAUGAAGAGGGGAGAGGAAAGAAGGUAUAAGGCUGACAUGUGGGGCCCACGUGGGCCCCACCAUUUUUAUUUAAUUUUUGUGUGUGGCUGGCGUAUGGGGCCACGAUUUUUAUUAUUUUUCAAGUAUCGAAUUGCCACAUAAGCGCCACAUCAUAUGCCACGUGUGACGAAGAUCAAGUCAAACUAGCCACGUUGGCGCCACGUCAGCCAAAACCGCCUUCUAAACCGCCAGGGACUUUAUUUGCACCGGUUUUAAUAGGGACCGAUUGUAUCUGUUUUUUGGGUUCAAGGAUAAAAAUCGAAUUCGGUGUAAAAUUAAGGGGCCUAGAAUGAACUUAUUCCACAUGCUGUGUGACCCCGUACGUCGUGGUGGGCCGUCGUGCGGAAGCAGAGCAGCUUGGCGGGCUAUGGGUGAAACCGCUAGCUGGGCCAAUGAGUGAUUGGGCCUUGAUCUAACAUGGGUGUAAUGACGGGCUUAUUUUUGUGGAAGUUCACCAUACAUCCCUCAACUUUACACCGAGAGGCUGAUCGCUUGUGGUUGCGCUGCAGCAGCAACCAAGGAAAAAGUACACCAGAGGUCCCUCAUCUUGUCAUCAGAUUACGAAUCAUCUACCAAUCACAAAACCAGAUAUAUGCCAUCCCUCAACUUACAAAAUCGGAUCACUUUGGAUCCUUAGGCGGUUUUAACCCUGGUUUUAUCUGACGUGGCAGCUGAGUCAGCAUGGGACCCACAUAUCAGGGCGACCAUGUCAUCUCUUUCCCCUCUUCUCUCUAUUCCUCCUCUCUCACUUUUCUCCUCAUCUGGGGCAGGCCGGCCGGUGGGUGGGGAGGAGGCCAGCGAGCUGAGGCGGGAGAGGAGGUCCGACAGCUUUCGACCGACGACGGGUGACGCGGACGACGACGCUGGAGCAAGAGGACCGACCCCCAUGGCGGUGGGUGACGCAGCGACGGCAGUGUCCACGCUCUCCUGUCGCGCUCCCCGUCCCCGCCGCUCGUCGGAGGUGAUGGCGCGCCAUGGCGGCGUCGGGGCAGAUGCUACCGCGGCCGUCGCCAGAACCACCCAGCCGACAGGCAUCUCCCGUCGCAGAGGACGACAUGAACACCAUCAAGGCCCUUCCGGCGCCGAGGAGCCGGUUCCGGUGCAAGAGGAGCAGAACGCCGGGGACAGGGGCGGUACCACCCAUUAGGCGGGGUUGGGCGGCCGGCCCAGCUACGGCCCGCGCCGCCCCAACCCUCCAUAUCAUUUUUGAGCCGCCCCAACCCUCCAUAUCACAAUUGGCCCAUAAAUAAGCAGCCCAAGUGUCCAAUUUUAAUCCUGCGUAUGUGAUGCUUUCCCGACUCAAUUCCUCAACAUUGCUCACCCCCGUCCCCUACUAUAGGGCCUAAUGUUUUUCUCUCUCUCCCUUCUAAUCUAAGCAAAAUAAUAAUCAUCUUAUUCUGGGUAUGCGAUAUCUUCUCAUAUAUUUACUUUUUAAAAGAUAUCUAUCAACCAUGCUUUAUGAAUUAACUCAUAUUUGCAAAUUGAUAUGUUUACUAGUAUAUUUUUAUGUAUGAUGAAUUAUGUAUGGCGCAAAAAUUAUUACUCUAUUUUAAUAUCAUUUUUGUUUUUUGUUUGCCUUAAUUUAUUGAUUAUACUAUAUGUUUAUAUGAUUACAAUAUAAAUAUGGUAUUUUUUUGUGUUUAGUUGUUCUUAUUGAGAUGAGCAUCUUCACCUCAUUUUUAUUUUAAUCCUGCGUCCACCACUGUAGACUGGCCGGGGAGACGGUGCCUGCUGAGCCGGAGGUGCCCCCGCUCAUCUCCCGACGGCGACCCGACUUCCUGAACUUGAACGGAGAUGCCAUGUCCGACGAAGAGCACGGGCAGCAGGCAGCAGCUGGCGCUCGCCCUGUUCACGACGAAGAGCACGGGCAGCAGGCAACCCAGCCGGGUCGGCGCCAAUGCACGACGCGUCCGACCCCUCGUCGACGGACCGGGAGACGGCGCUUGUCCAGUCCGCGACCUCAGCAUGCUGGUGCUCGACGGGAUGUACAGCCACUCGACGGCGGAGUCGACGGCCGCGAACGCGCAUGCGUUCUACGGCAGCGCAAGCAGCGUGGCGUUGCGGCUGCCUCAUCAUAGGACCAAGGGGAUAGAGAUUAGUAACCUUAUCGAGGCGGAAUUCAAAGCAGAACGAACCCUGGAAGCCUCGCCUAGUCGCCUGCAUGCAUGCUCUGGAGCUCCCUGAAGGCUAGAACAUAGAAUACAAAUCGAGAUGGAGAGGCCGUCUCGAUCAGACGAAAAUCACAACAAUUUUGCUAGAAGACUACUGUAUUUCUUUUCUUAUUUUGUCCUGUCCCUCUACCGCCAUCGAUCUAGCCUGAAUUUCUCACGAGGAUGCGCCAGUAUCCCGCGCUCCUCCUUGAUUUUUCUCGGAUUUUUGGGAUGUGUUUUGAUCGAGAAGAAAUAGGACGAGAUAGAGUGCGUGAAGUCCCGGAACGGGAUCGCCGCCGACGUGCGGGCCAGGGCCUACGCAUGAUGGUGCUCGACAGGAUGUACAGCCACGCGAUGGUGGCGUCGACGGCCGCGAACGAGCAGGCGUUCUCUGGCAGCGCGAGCAACGUGGCAAUGCCGCUGCCGGGGCGCCGAUGCUUGUGGUGCCCGCGCCACCCGGAACCAGCGGCAGCGGCGCCACGACGGCAUGCAUCGUCGACCCCUUCGUGGCGGACGACAAGGAGAAGAGUGGGAGGAAGGGAGAGAAGAGGGGAAAGAGAGAUGAUGACAUGGACACCCUGACAUGUGGGGUCCACGUGGGUCCCACAAUGAUUCAGCUGUCACAUCGGUUAAAACCGUCAAAGGACUUAGAGUGAACCGGUUUUGUAUUUUGAGAGAUGUUAUAUACCUGGUUUUGUGGUUGGGAAAUGAUUUUGUAAUCCGAUGACGAGAUGAGGGACUUCGUAUAUACUUUUUCCUAACAACCAACAAGCAGCUGCUCUUUGCAGCAGUGUGCACAUUCAAAACAUAACAGUUGCUGUAGAAUUUUGGGUUGCAGCCGAUCGUCUAGGCUGGACAGCUGCAGUCCAAAACGCCGCAGCCAACUGAACCGAUCAGGCCCCGAGUCUCUUUUAGGUCCCCUAACCACAAUACCAGAAAUGUGUACCCCCAAACUAUGUAAAACCGUCUAAAAAAAGGUCCCGACAUAGUAUAGAUGUCUGGUUUCGUUGACAGGGUAUCCUAGUCAGCAAAAAUAACUAAAAUAAAUAUGUAGGCCCACAUAUAAGUGAGAGAAAAUGGUGUGGGCCCCACAUCUCUCCUUUCUUAUUUUUCCUCUUCUCUCCUGAUUCUAUCGAGUUGGCGUGGUGACAGAGGGGAGAGAGGCGGCCAGCGGCGGAGCGGAGGCGGCGGGAGAGGGGGAGAGAGGCGGCCAACGGCGGGAGAGGGAGAGAGAAGAGGCCGACGCGAUGGCAGUGGCGGGAGAGGAGGAGAGGUGGCGGCCGGCGCGACGACGACGACAGGAGAGGAGGAGCGCGUGUCGCACCGGCAGGGGAGAGGAGCAGCGCAGCGGGCACGGAUGAGCGCCAGAUACGGCCGGCGGCAGAUGUUACCUCCCUCUUUCUUGCCCGCGCACGACUGUCGUGGUUGUCGACGGUGGCUACUGUCGACGACCGGCAAGGAGGGAGCUCCAACGUCAACGAACGCCGCUUUAAGGAGGAGGCACGAGAAGCAGAGAGGAAGGAGAUGGGGAGGCCGGCGAGCAGGCGGUGAUGCAAGACAUGUAAAAUGUUACCACUGGACGAAUGAUGGAAGAACAAUGGUAAAUGUCAGAUUCAAUUUAGGUUUUUUGCUCCUGUCGAGUCACUACUCACAUUCAGAUGAUGUGGCUGUUAGAGACCCACUCAACAAUGUAAUUUCAGAAAUAGCAGUGCCAAAUCUAAUACAGGGAACAACCAAGUCUGUUACAAUAGUGGAGUGGUUCUGAGGUGGAAGAUGGAAGGAUACAAGGGCUAGAAGGCUCUAGUAGCUUCUAGACUAGUAGAGAAGAAGGGAGAUAGACGAGAGAUCGACAAAGAGGCCAGCCAGCCUCCAGGUCACCGCCGCCGCCAUUUGCCGCCUUGGCCAAAUGAAUCUGUUCGAUCCAUCUCCUAUAAGCUGCUGCUGCUCAUAUAAUUUUCAGCUUGGCCUUGCUUGGGCUUCUUGGCGAUGGGCUGACCAGCCCGUGGUGCAGCCAGCGGCCCAUGUGCAGCCCACCCGAGUCCUUGACAAUCCCCUCUUCUUGAAAUUUGGCUUGUCCCCAAGCCGAUGAAGAAAACCUCCUGGAUCCCAUGGUACCUGUAGCUCUUGUAUUUCCUUGGAAUUGCUCAGCUGUAGCUUGAUAACUUGCUCUAUAUUUGUCUGUCUUGUACUGAAUGUCUCACAUUGCAGCAAUUGUUCUAUCUUGACAUCACCUAGUAACAAGUGGCGUAUUGGGCACCCCUCUUUUAUGACCUCGAAUAAUUUAACAGACCAAUAAUCCCUGUUUGCAAUUGAUGCAUAUAUCAUCUCUGAAUCUGUCCUGGUAUCAAUCCCAUCAAUGGAAAACCUUGCUGCAGCACUACCAUCACUAGGAUUAUUCUCACAGAAAUCAAAAAUGGAAUCAUAACUACAUGUCUUAACCUUCCUAUUCUGAUUCUCACCAGCACCUCUAGCAAUAAUCUCAGAAAUCCUUCUGACCCCAAAAUGUACCCCCACUGGACAGUUAAACAACUGACCAUUGUAUAAUAUGUUUGUUGGGUUCUGUAGCCAGCUCUCAACAUGAUUAAGUGUCAUGCGCAUGGACUUACAAAUUUUGUAAGUUCUUCCCUUAGCUAUAUCAUUUAACCCUUCUCUAGCCUCCAACCAACAAGCUCCAUAUAUAUAUUUUGAGUAGAUGUUGUUGUCAUUGUAGCAGCAGGAAUGAUCAAGUAGUUGCAGUUUACUGUAAUUAGGCCAUAUAACAUUCCCUCUAUAACUUUUUCCUCACCACCCACAUAAUGGAACUGUUCCAAGUUAAAUAUUGCCACCAAUGUAUCCUUAUGAGCUCGAUCAGAUUUUUCAUGAUUUAAAUCUCCUUUAGGUGCACAAUAUAGUGCAACAGAAGGUGUUUGGUCUCUUAUGCAAUUUGCACUGCAAAAAUCAUAUCCCAUCAAAUGUGCAAAAACUGGUGCAGGCUAUGGGACUUGCUCAGUUCACAUCACGCCUCCGCUAUAUUGACUUGGUUGUGGGUCAGGCCACGGUUUCAGCUCUACUUCCGUCAACCAUGUGUUUACCAGCAGCCAAAGUAUUAUGGUUCCAAUUUGAGUUGGUGGUGGCCAUGGUGGCAUGAAAUAAAAUAUUAUCCCCAAAUAAUUGCCCGCAGCCCAAGGCACAUACCACUCCUUCCAUCUUCUAACCACUCUACCUGAGCAAGGAGGUGGCCAUGGGUUUCUCUUGGGAUGACUCAUCAACAGCUUCUUGUAGCCCUUGGAGCAUUUGGUCGAACACCUGUUGAGCGCCACCCAUUUUAGGCAGAAAUUGGAGUUAAGCUUUUGUGCCAUGACUAGUGUGGCCUUUCCCGAGGAUGCUAUUCCUUCUGGCGCGCCAAGCAAUAGUGAGUACGCAACCCCAGCCUGGAUAGUACCGGUGUUGACGUUGGGGCCCAACAUCAAAUGGCUUGGGUGCAUCACCUUGGGAAGGUGAGUGGUGUCAGUGCAGGUUGCUUUCUCGUCAACCAUCAACUCCAUGGACUGACUUGAUAUCGGAACGACCUUGAACACACCCAUCCUACUUUGGAACACAAUCACACCUCUAUCAGUGACACCGUUGACAUCGGGGCCAAACAACAAACACUUGGUGUGCGUCUCCUUGGAACAAACACGGGGGUCAAUGUUGGUGGUGCCGGUUGCACCAUCGGUGGCUACCAACUCCUUGGAGUCCAUGGCAGUGUUGGAGCAUGUAACCACCGCAGCCACGGUGAAAUCAGGCUCGACGUCGAGGCUUGAGCAUAUUGUCAAACACAUGAUAGGCGUCAACUCGGAAAGGUCCUUGCUAAUGAUGAAGGGCAUGCGAUCCUUCCCCUCACCAUCCCCAAGCUCCAGGAUGAUCGUCGGAGUAGCCCCCUCGUCGUCGUAGAUGGAUCUCGCUGUUGUGCUCGGGCUGCUGCCAUUGGGGCACUCCAUUGAACAGGUGGUGGGCGUCACCUUGGACUGCUCAUCCUCAACCAAAAACUGAAGGUCUUCAGCUUUCUUCUAUUCUUGGGGCAUCCACGAGUCUAUUGUUGCCUUGAGAGACAGGAAAUCUGCUCUCCUUCUUUGGUCUGCCUCCUCCCGCCUUCGCUCGCACUCUUCGAGCAUCCUUAAAAGCAUGUUAAACUUGUCCUCACUUCCCAUGGCAGCUUGCUUGAUGAGCUUGGUGGGGAUUGGCUCUGAUACCAAAUUGUUAGAGACCCACUCAACAAUGUAAUUUCAGAAAUAGCAGUGCCAAAUCCAACACAGGGAACAACCAAGUCUGUUACAAUAGUGGAGUGGUUCUGAGGUGGAAGAUGGAAGGAUACAAGGGCUAGAAGGUUCUAGUAGCUUCUAGACUAGUAGAGAAGAAGGGAGAUAGAGGAGAGAUCGACAAAGAGGCCAGCCAGCCUCUAGGUCGCCGCCGCCGUCGUUCGCCGCCUUGGCCAAAUGAAUCUGUUCGAUCCAUCUCCUGUAAGCUGCUGCUGCUCAUAUAAUUUUCAGCUUGGCCUUGCUUGGGCUUCUUGGCGAUGGGCUGACCAGCCCGUGGUGCAGCCAGCGGCCCAUGUGCAGCCCACUCGAGUCCCUGACAGUGGCUGCGACGAGGGCACAAUGCCCAGCUGCCGCUGCUGCUGCUGAUAAUGAUACAUGCUCCCGUUCGCCUCCUGCAGGAGAUCGCCAUUGAAGAGGCUGCCAAAGCCAAAGCUCUGCGGCGUUUCUUCUCCCGUGGCCAUGAAUCGGACACCUGCCGCGGCGUAGGACGCCGGCAACACAUGCUGCUGCUCUCCGAUGAGGAAGCCUCCUCCUGCAGGUAGGGGGGCGAAAUGCUCGCUCCCACUGCUGUUGUUGAAGCUGCUGUUGCAGAUGACCGGGUUGGGGGAGGGGGAGGGCGGGCGCUGUGUCGGUAAGCGGCAUGGAGGAGCGCACCGAGCAUCGUGGCGCUAUCGUCCAUCACGGCAAAGCCGAGGCUGAGGCCGUCGCUAUGGCGCAGCAGCUCGGCCUCUGCGUGCCAGUCCUCUCGUCUCUCCUGCCGCCACGCCACGCGCUGCUCCUCUCCUUCGCCGCUGAGCUCACUGUUGCGCCGUCCGUCUCUCCGCUGCCCCUGCUCCACUGCUGGCCACCUCUCCCCCAUCUGCCACAAUGCCCGCUCGAGAGAAGCGGAGAGAAGAGAGGGCCCACACUAUUUUCUCUCACUUACAUAUGAGCCCCACAUAUUUAUUUUAAUUGUUUUUGCUGACUAGGAUGCCACGUCAGCAAAAUCAGGCAUCUAUACUGCCUCGGGACCUUUUUUGGAUGGUUUUAUAUAGUUUAGGGGUACACAUUUCGGAUAUUGUGGUUAGGGGACCUCAAACAGACUCGGCAUAAAGUUGAGGGACGGCCGGUGAACUUAUUACUUUAGCCUUUCUUUCAUUUCUUUUGCCUUUUUUCCUUUUUCUUAAAAAAAAUUGUUUCCCCACUGUAUUUACAAAUUAACCGUUGGUCAUCCACAGACCUUCCAAUGUAGGACGAGGAGGCCGGCGGUGCUCCGACAGAGAGGAGGAAGGAGGAAGAAGAGCUCCGCAAUGCCAAGGCGAAGGCGAACCUCAAGGCCAGCGGCAUCGCCGUCGUCUUCGGCUUCACCGUGCUGACCGCCUCGCUCUGCCUCCCCACCGAGGCGAAGCACGCGAGCAACACGCGCUUCAUUGUCUCACUCCUGUUGGCAUUCGCCACGUCCGUCAGGCGUCAGCGGGAGCUGCCUCGUUUUCCUCAGCUUGACCAUGAUUGGGCUUCCCCAACGGCUCGUCUCCGGCGUCCAGCGCGGUGCCUCCAAGUGCCUCGUAGCCGUGACGGGGAAAUUAUUUUAAUCUCUCGAGGAGAUAUCUUUUUGUUGUUUGCAUGUCACUAAAAUGGUUAUAAAAAAAUUAAAAAUAAUUGAGAAGGUGUAUUAAUAUGCGAUAUAACACUUCACAAAUAUGCAAGUUUAAAUUCAACUUCUACAUGACUUAAUCUCUAUCGGGCAUUAACUAAAGCCCGUCAUCGAUGAGUAUUUUCUCAUUUUUCAUAUGAAAUGUUUAUAUUUGUAAGUUGAACUAUAGCAAAAUAAUUAACUUGCAGUAUAAUAAUUCAAUUUAUGAGUCAAAAUAAUUUUACGUAUAGUAAAUGAUAUCAAAUGGAAAAGUCAUCAACAACAAAGUUGUACAACUCAUCAAGAUCUAUAACUUUUAUUUUGGUCAUUUUUCUAUAUAACAAUUUUUGAACAGUUUGAAUUUUGAAUUUGAAAAUAUGACAACUUCAAACAACAUUUUCAAAUACUAAAUGAUUUCAACUAAAAAAGUUAUCAAUAACAAAGUUGAAUAAUUCAUCAACAUCUAUAACUUUUAUUUUGGUUAUUUUUCUAUAUAACAAUUUUUGAACCGUUUGAAUUUGAAUUUAAAAAUAUGACAGCUUCAAAUAACAUUUUUAAACACUAAAUGAUUUCAACUGAAAAAGUUAUCAACAACAAAGUUGAAUAACUCAUCAAGAUCUAAAACUUUUAUUUUGGUCAUUUCUUCAUCUGAUAAAAUAUUAGUAACAUUGUUCACAAAUUUUACAUAUAUGUGUUAUAGUUUAUAAAAUUAGAUAAGAGAUAUGUCAAUUUUGUGAACAAUAUUAUUAUCACUUUAUCAGAUGAAGAAAUGACCAAAAUAAAAGUUUUAGAUCUUGAUGAGUUAUUCAACUUUGUUGUUGAUAACGUUUUCAGUUGAAAUUAUUUAGUAUUUGAAAAUGUUGUUUGAAGUUGUCAUAUUUUCAAAUUCAAAUUUAAACGGUUCAAAAAAUAUUAUAUAGAAAAAUGACCAAAAUAAAAGUUAUAGAUCUUGAUGAGUUAUACAACUUUGUUAUUGAUGACAUUUUCAGUUGAAGUCGUUCACUAACAAAAAAUUCUGUUUGAAUUUCUCAAACUUUGAAUUUCAAAUUUCAAAUUGUUUAAAUAGAGUCGGAUGGAGAAAUGACCAAAAUAAAAAUUUUGCAUCUCGAUGAGCUCUACAACUUUGGUUUUGGUGACUUUUCCAUUUGAAAUUAUUUAUUAACCCUAAUUUUUGUUCCAAGUUGUCAAAUUUUGAAAAUUCAAAAUCUGAAUUAUUCAAAUGAACUUAUUUGUACAAAGGACCGAUACAAUAGUUGUAGAUCUCGGUGAGUUAUACAAUUUUGUUGUUUAGGAUUUUUGAUGGUUGUGUAUGUGAAUGAAUGUAUAUGAAUGAGGGAUGUUGGGGUGUGACGUCCUAGCCUAGGGCUUAAUAGGAUUAAUAGAAUACUCAUACCGACAAGUUACAACUUCUCUUCCGGAAGCUGAUCUCCAAAGAACUUUGAUGUUAAGCGUGCUUGGCGGCCUGAGAGAGGCUAGACGGCAUGCCUAAAAAUAAAAUUUAUUUUUUUUGGGAUUAUACUCAUCUGUGACUGGCAUUAACUUAGGCCCGAUUGAGAUGACUCAUCUGUGACGGGCAUUAACUUAGGCCCGAUUGAGAUGACUCAUCUGUGACGGGCAUUAACUUAGACCCGAUUGAGAUGACUCAUCUGUGACGGGCUAUAGUUAAUGCCCGUCACAGAUAAGGGUCAUCUGUGACGGGCUAUAGUUUAGGCCUGAUUGAGAUAGGUCAUCCGUGACAGGCUAUAGUUUGACUGAUCGUCUGGGUCAAAGCUAUCGGUGACGGGCUUUAAUUAUGGCCCGAUUGAGAUAGGGGGAAGUUCUUCCCAGGUGCACACGAGUAAGGACAAAAAAGACUGGCCUGAGAGAGGCUAGACGGCAUGCCUAAAAAUAAAAUUUAUUUUUUUUAGGAUUAUACUCAUCUGUGACGGGCAUUAACUUAGGCCCGAUUGAGACGACUCAUUUGUGACGGGCAUUAACUUAGGCCCGAUUGAGAUGACUCAUUUGUGACGGGCUAUAGUUAAUGCCCGUCACAGAUAAGGGUCAUCUGUGAUGGGCUAUAGUUUAGACCCGAUUGAGAUAGGUCAUCCGUGACGGGCUAUAGUUUGACUGAUCGUCUGGGUCAAAACUAUCGGUGACGGGCUUUAAUUAUGGCCCAAUUGAGAUAGGUUCAUCUGUGACGGCCGUUUACCCUAUUGAGAUAACUUUUCACAUCAGUGACUUCUAGCCUGUAACGGACGCCAUGCCCGAUUGAGAUGGGGGUUGCCGCCCGAUUGAGAUGAUGGUAUCUGUUCUAGUGAGCGCAACCACCAGGUUCACGGCCAUCUACGUCUCCAUCUUCUUCAUGUUCUCCACCGCCAUCGUCGGCAUGUCGGCGAUGACGUUGUCGAAGAGGGCCGUGAACGUCGCCGCCACAGCCAACCGGUGGUUCUUCCUAGUCGCCGCGAUCAGGAUAACCAGCGCCCUCUCGCUCUGCUUGCUUGCCUGCGCGGUGCUCGCGGCGUCCUACGUCGUCCUCGGGUACUUCCUCAUGCUCGCCGCCUUCGUGCUGCUAGCCAUUACAUCCCUCGUCUUCCUCCUCCUCCGUCACUGUGUUCCCAGCGGCCGGUCCGACCUGCUGGAUGGUCAACCGGAGCCAGAGGAGGCGCGGCUGAAGGCGAUGGAGGACAGGCGACAGUGAACCGACGGUCCUUCUCUCUGUCUGUGAAAACUGUUUUGGGCCGCCUGAAAAAACGAUUUUUCUAAUAGUGAUGUCUUCACCCUUGACCUGGGUUUCAAAAGUGUUGAGUUUGUACUAUGAACGAAAUACAACAUUUUAGGAACAGGAUACUUUAACUUAACUACUACGCAGUUGAGAUAUUUACAUGUGAAUUAUAGUAAAGUGAGAUCAAUUUAUAAGUGACAUAACUGCAUGUACAGUUAUUUCAGGAGAUCUGUUUCUAAAGAUUUGAGGUCUAGCACCGAGUUUUCUUGUGGCACGGGCAGCGUGUGUCCGACCGGUGAUUGGCCUCAGCCAUUCGCAACUCACAAGGCGCGUGGGGACCUGUAACACCUGAAAAUUUUGAAUUUGAAAUAUGAAAAAAAUUCGGAAUAGUCAAAAAUCUUUUUCCAAAUUUCUUUAUUGUAUCUUACUUUCUUUUUUCUGUUGUGCUUGACCACAAGGACGGAAAUUAAAAUCUAAUUUGGAUUAAAAUAUUAUUUACUAAAGGAACCAUGAUUAUAAAAUAAUAAAAUAUUUGUAAAUAUAAAUUAUCUUCCUAAAAACUCUUUUUCUAUAAUUUAGAACCCCUUUUGGGUAUUUGUUUUACGAAUGUCUACAAUUACUGAAUCUUUAAAGAAAACCCCCUUCAGGGAUAAUUCCUGGAGGAAGUUAUUUUAUAAACAAAAUCUAAUAUUAAUUAAUAUAUGAAAAUCCUUUUUAAGAAAUAAUCUUUUGUAUUUGUUCUACAAAUAAAGGCUAGUGGGAAUUUGCCAUCUAAACCCUAUUACAAACUAAAAUCGUAAAAAGAGUUUAUUUUAAAAGAAUUCACGGAAAAGUCUGGUUUUCGUCCUUGAAGGGCCUAGCCCAGCCCGCACAAUAGAACAUGUGUUUCUUUGAGUACAUUUAGGUUUUUUUUUUUACCAAAGAUCUUGACUAAAUCCAUCCGGGUGAAUCCCAAAUCUUGCCAAAUGUUAAAUCCCUCAGGAUUCGAAUUCUGUAAUUCGAUCCUCCUUCUAAAUUGAACCCCUCCUGAACAAAUUAUUCCGUUAUAUGGAAAUACUCAAUAUUGUCAAUAAUAGGUUACAAAUUGAGGGCCAUGACUUGGUGUGCUUGCAUGGACUUGGCUAUAAUAAAUUUUGGCUCCCUUUUACUUAGAAGUUACCGCACUUUCUCAUUGUUUUACAUGCCAGGCCAUACAUCCCUUUCAUUGAAGAGAACAAAAAUGCAUUUUAGUCCAUUAUAUAUCUUUGUGUUCUACAAACAAAACAAAAAUUAUUAAUCAUUCAAGGCCGCGUUUGUCUAUCCUUAGGCCGUGUCUGUAAUGGCUUCAGCUCUAGGAUUCUUGCUGAAAAUAUAAAUUGAAUAUGGUCUGUAUUUCUUUGAUGACAUGGCAGGCAUAUUACCGUAUUGAGAAAGAUUAGUUAUUUCACUACAUACUUUAGAUGUAUAUUAGCCAAAGGAGGUUACACCAGUGUAAUUAUCACGGCUGGGAUUAGUUUUUUCACUACUUUCAAGAAAGAAUAGUUUUUUUAUUAAAAUAAAAUGUUUCAGUGUGAGGAGCAUGCACUACUACAGAAUACGUUUUUACAUACGGCCGGCAACGAUUUUCGCAUGCGGCAAAGAUCGCCAUCUUUGCAUGCGGCCAGGGCACCCGCAUGCGAAAAAUAAGAAAAAACGAAACCCUAGCCGCCACCCGAGCUCGCUGGCUGCUCCUGCCGCCACCUGUUCCCGCUCCCACCGCCGCCCGUCCCCACUCCCGGCUCCACCGCUCGCCCCCACUCCCGCCGCCGCCGCCCACCCCCGUUCCCGCCCCCGCCGCCCGUCCCCGCUCUCGCUGCCGCCGCCCACCCCGCUCCCGCCGCUGCUCGCCUCGCUGCCGCCGCCGCCCUCUGCCGCUUCCACUGCCAGCCGCUCCCGCCUCCCGAGGUCGCCGCGGCACUCUUCGCCCAAGGUCGCCGUCGGAUCCGGGCAGGACGAGGCCCGCUGCCUCCGGAUCCGGGCGAGACGAGGACCGGCGCGGCCGGAUCUGGCCCAUCGCCUCCUCGUCGUCGUUGGCGGCGGCGGUGAGGAGGAGAUGGCGGUGGCGUCGCCGCCCGAGGUCGCUGCCUCAAGUCGCCCGAGGUCGCCUGCCGCCGGAUCUGGCCCGUCACCUCCUCCUCGUCGGCGGCGGCGGCGGUGAGGAGGAGAUGGCGGUGGCGCCGCCGCCCGAGGUCGCCACCGCCGCUAGCUCCGGGCCAAGCCGCCCUAGCCACCGCCGUGCUCGAGGAGGAGUGGAGAGGAGAGAAAGAGAGUUGGAAAGAAAGAGAGAGUGAGGGGAAAGGAUAGAAAGAGAGAGAGAGAGAGUGUGUGGUGGUAAAAGUAUCUAGACAGGGGAGUGAGAAGGGGUGAUGAAAAAAUUUGAAGGGAUGAGGAGGGAAAAACAAUUAAUUUUAAAAUAUCAAAACUUCGAAUCAAAAUUUAUCAUAUUAAAUGAACUCAUAUGAAAAAGUUAUCAAAAACAAAGUUGUACAACUCGUGGAGAUCUACCAAUUUUCUUUUGGUCAUUUUUCCAUCCGAGGUUGAUUGAGCUAUAUAAAAUUUAAAUUUUAAAAUAUAAGAAAGUCAAAUAAUAUUUUAAAGCAAUAAAUGAUUUCAAAUGGAAAAGUUUUAAACAACAAAGUUGUAUAACUUACCAAGAUCUACAACUUUUGUUUUGGUCAUUUUUCUAUAUGACUUUGUUUGAACAGUUUGAAUUUGAAUUUCAAAUUAUGACAACUUCAAACAACAUUUUCAAAUACUAAAUGAUUUCAUCUGAAAAAGUCAUCAAUAACAAAGUUGUAGAACUCAUCAAGAUCUAUAACUUUUAUUUUGGUCAUUUCUUCAUCCGAUAAAGUGAUUUAUAAAAUUGUUCACAAAAAUGCACAUAUCUCUUAUAAAGUUUAUAAAACUACAAGAGAGAUGUACAUUUUAUUAACAAUCUUAUAAAUAACCUUGUCGGAUGAAGAAAUGACUAAAAUAGAAGUUAUAGAUCUUGAUGAGUUAUACAACUUUGUUGGUGAUGACUUUUUCAGUUGAAAUCAAUUACUGGUUCAAAAUAUUAUUUAAAGUUUUGAAAUUUAAAAUUUUAAUUGAUAAAACAAAGUCACAAGAAAAAAUAACCAAAAUAAUAGCAGCAAGAACACAAUAACAUGAUAGAGCAUGAUUUUAGAAAUAUUUAGAAAAAAGAAUCAUCUAAUUUGGAGUUCAUAGUUUUAAAUUUUUGAAAUUUUAUUUUUGCAUACGGCUUCUUAAGUGGCCAGUAUAAAAAAAAAUAAUUUUUCCAUACGGGCGCUUAAGUGUCAUUUUUACAUGCGGUCCUCUUAAAAGACCCGUAUGGGAAAAUCGAUUUUUCCGUACGGGCCACUUAAGGGGACGCAUGCAAAGACGCCGCUAGUUAUGCUCCGUUUGCAAAAAUCAAGGGGUCUCACAAGUAGUGAUGACAUUAGCCACGACGUCUCUCCUGCACAAAUCCUGUGAAGUCCCACUGAUGAAGCAAGAGAUGAGCUCCCCAGACAGGAUUUGUCCACAAUCAUUUGGUUAUCAGCAAUGCCCUCGAUAGAGAAGUACUAAGGUCGAUCAUAGAAUUGCCAUAGCAAUGUGCCAUUUCCAGGUGCGCAGUAAGUUCAGACUGUAGAAUGAAUGUGCUGUGCUGUACAUACUACGGUGUAUAAUCAAUCCACCUGCUAAUCCAGGCAAUAUGCAGUCCAUUUCAUCCAUACAAUGAAAUGAAAAGGGGCAUGCAUGGAACAUAGCAUUUCAGUGUUCAGUGACAUCAACAGAUCAACUAACAACAAUUACAGCUAGAGAUGUGCGCUGGAUACACAACUAUCCCUAUUCCAGUGGUCGAGAAGCUAGGCUGGACAGAGUCGUAGUGAAAAGGAAGUGAACAACAGCACUCGUGUAAUCCUGUGGGUGCUCCUGGGACAGUAGAGGCGACGACUAUCACGCAUAGCUGCGUGCAGUGCACCCCAAUCAGGAUUCAGGGCAAGCGUUGCUCCUCCUUCAAGACAGGUUUCAUUUCCCUGGGAAGCUGGCCAAUCUGUCUCUUCAGCUCUCGCUUGAAUGCUUCUCUAUAGGAUCCACCGAACCAGACUUCCUUGAGACCGGUUAGUGCUUCUAAUCCAGAGAGCCUCAACGAUGAGACAUUACAGCAACGGAGCUUCAGACACUCAAGACUAGGCAUUACUCCAGAGUGAAACGUUACGGCCUGUAAACUGGGGCUGCAGGAAAUCUUGAGUAUCACGAGACUGUCGAAGCCUGAGUGGAACUGGAGCCCAUCACCUGACGGCAACAUGGCCAUCUGUAGAUUCAAUUUACUGAGCUUCCGCAGCAGCGUGAUCCACUCUGGCAGCUUGUCGUCUGCAUACCCGUACAGCUUAAGGCUCUUUAGGUUCUCUGGAGGCUUGGAGAUAGCAUCCAAACAGCCUCGAUUGUUCUCCUUAUUGAGAUGCACCGACAAGGAUUCCAAGUGGGCGUGACCAGAGAUGGCAGAACAAAACUCCCGACAGUUUCUCCGGCUGAUGCCAGAUACUCCAAGCUUGCGCAAUUGGGUAAGGUUCUUGAGCUCUUCCAGAAUAGCUCGGCCCUUCUUUGCAACACUGACGUCGAUGACACCCAGAGUGUGUAAGGUCGUCAUUUUUCGAAUCCCUCUGGGCACCACAAUUCCACCAUUGCAGGUGCCAGCAACAGCAGGCUGCUGGCCGCGGUGCCGGCUUGUCCACGUCUCCCGCAACUCGAAUAAACGGGACACCGCAGUUGCAUCACUACAACAAAAAUGCUUUGUAGAGACAUUUUUCUAGUACUAUAGAGACACUUUUCAAAUGCCUUUACAAUACUAUAGAGGCAUUUUUAAAAAUGUCUAAUAAGUGUCUUAUGGUGAAUUGUCUCUAUAAACGAAGAGGCAUUUUAUAAAAUGUCUAUAAGGUGGUAGAGGCAUUUUCUAGAGACAUUAAAUUGUACCACAACCAUAUGAAACCAAUGUAAAAAUGAGAAUAAAAUAUUUUCCCUUGUUUUUGCCAAUCCUUGAACUCGUGAUUUCUUGAUCAAAUCAUUCUUAUCUUCAAGGCACUAACCAACUCAACCUCAUGUCAUUCGUUGUAUAUGUUUAUGCCUUAAGCUACUUAUAUUUAGCCAUUUAGUAUAUUUUUUUUUGUAAGAAGUGUCUCUACAGAGUUUAAAGUGUCUCAAGCAAAUGUCUUUACAUGUUAGACACAUUUUAAAGUGCCGAAAGAAUGCCUCUACAAGAUAAAAUAUAAUAAAAUGCGCUGAAAAUAUUUCUAAAGUGUCUCUAGAGUAAAAAUUUUCUAGACAAUUUUGAAAGUGCCUCUAUAAAGUGUCUCUACGCUAUAAAACUCCUGAUCUUAGAGGCAAUUUGCAAAAUGCCUCUACAAAAGCGCAGCAUGUGGCCUGCUCAUUGACGUCGACGGUUCUGAUAAUGAUGGGGAAGCUGUUGCUGAUGCUGCUUCUGGUGGCGGUGGUCGUAAUCGUAGGAUUCCAUCAGUACUGGUAUCAUCAUCCAGUGGUACAGGUACAGGGUUACCUGCACGAACAUACUGCAGCUUCUUUAGCUUGGUGAUGCUUGUUGGAAGAUUGAUAAUGGAGGUGCAUCUGAUAUCAAGAGUCUGGAGGUGCCUCAGCCCACCGAAGGAAUCCGGCAGAUAAGUGAUUUUGUGUCCUCUUAGGGAUAGGAACUUGAGGCGAUGUAGCACCUUCCCAAUAUUCUCGACAUCAACAUCAGUUACAUCGCAUGCAUCCUCCAGGUCGAGCACACGAAGCACUCCCAUCUUGUUGGAGAUGAAGAAUGACUCCCAUGGACCAAACACCGUUAAAGACCGUAGCCUCAACAAGUCCAGGCUGUCGAACAGAGUCUUGUUCCUGUCCCAGCUGUUCCAAAUGGCUAGGUGUUGUCCCAGUGGCGAAGCUAGAGCAAAUGGGUGGGGGGUGCCUAACUUUAUCAAGACUAUAAUGUCUUUUGUGAUGUUCAAGCAAAUAGUAUAGCUAACACAUAAUCGGCGAGAUGAUCCUUGAGGACAGAGGACGAACACUCACUCUAGUUGGUCGAGCAGCAGGCAGCGGCUCUUUGAGUCUUUGACGCUGACGAGGACGAGAUCGGCGAGAUGAUCAGAUGAACGUCGAUCGUCGAAGUCGAACGCCGGCGAGGCAGGCAGGCAGCCACGAUCGUCGCACGCGCAGCUGAUGCGUCUUAGUGGGCAGCGGCUUCGUCUUCGUGCAGUCCUGUCUUCGUGGGCAGCGGCUCGCUCCGGGCGUCGGCGUCGCGACUCGGGAGUCGGGAGGAAGGGCAGGCAGUCGAUGCGUCGCUGCGUCGGUGUAUACGGCACGUCUCGCGAAGUCGUCGUGAGGAGAAAAAGAGUUGGGCAGCUGAUGCGUCGUGGGCUGAAUAAGUGGCAUCGUGGGAUUCAAGGUCUGGUGGGGGUGCCUCCUAUUGGGCUGUAGGGGUGCCUAAAGGGCCAAAAUUUGUUCAUCUCUAAGAAAUUUUAGGAAUCCGGGGGGUGCCUGGGCACCCAGGCCGCCCAAAGUGGCUUCGCCCCUGUGUUGUCCUAUGUCGCCUUUUGUGGUUAGUCUCCAGCAAUAGCCCUCCAGUACAGAGACUUCUAGUGGCAACAAAAUUCUUUCUUCCACUGGCCGCGAGAUCAUGUACUCGUGGAAGAAGCCAUUGAACUCGUAACAGCCAUCCAUAGUUGCCUGCCUGAUCACACUCUGGGAGGAAAGCUUGUGGAAGAGCUCCCCCAUUUCCUCCAAGCUAUUGCUUUCAGAGCCACUGGCAUAGCCCUCCGCGAUCCAUCGCCUCACCAAACGCCUUCGCCGAAAGGUUUUGCCUUGAGGAAAAAUUAAGAGAUAUAACAUGGAUCUCAUGAGUGAUGGAGGACAAGAGCAAAAGUAGGAAUGCAUCCAGGCGAAUAGGCCCCGUAAACAGUAAAAUUCUUGGCUGGUCUGUAACUCUUGCAUAAAGUUGGCUAUAAGAUACUGACACUGCCAUUCCCUUUCCCUUUUGUCUUCUAUAUUAGACAUAUAUUGGUUGGCCCAGUAUCUGGCUAAAGCAACUAUUACUUGGGGAAGUCCUCCACUCCUGGAUAAGAUAGCUUUUACAUUUGGGUCGUCCCGAGACAUGCUGUGUUUGAUAUUUUGAAGCGUCUUUUCUUCAGACAAGUUAUUAUUAUUCUGAGAUUCCAGUUCUUCCAAUAGGUCUUUUUUAUUCAGAAGUACCAAUUCUUCAAACGGGUUUUCACUAUUCUGAAAUGAUUUUUCUUCAUACAAGUUUUCACAGUUCAGGGAUACAUGUUUUUGAAACCAGCUACUCAUAUUUGGAAAUACAUAUUCUUCAAACGGGCUUCCAUUAUUCUCAAACUCAUGUUCUUCCUGUUUGUUCGUUUCAGAAAACCACUGAAAUGUUUGUUCAAAUGAAUUUCCAUUAUUCUGAAAUGCCUGUUCUAUGAAUGACUUUUCAGUAUUCUGAGAUGCCUGUCCUUGAAAGUAAUCUUUGUUAUUCUGAAAUAUCUGUACUUCGCAUGAGUUUCCAUUAUUCUCACAUAUCUGUUCUUCGAUUGAGUUUCCAUUAUUUUGAACCGACUGUUCUUUGAACGAGUUUCCAUCAUUCUGAAAUGCCUGUCCUUGAAAGUAAUUUCUGUUACUCUGAAAUGUCUUUUCUUCACAUGAGUUUCCAUAACCUGACUGUUCUUUGAUCGAAUUUCCAUCAUUCUGAGAUGCCUCUCCUUGAAAGUAAUUUCUGUUAUUCUGAAAUAUCUGUUCUUCACAUGAAUUUCCAUUAUUCUCACAAAUCUGUACUUCCAUUGAGUUUCCAUUAUUUUGAACUGACUGUUCUUUGAACAAGUUUCCAUCAUUCUGAAAUGCCUGUUCUUCCUGCUCAUCCCCUUCAAAAAUAUAUCUAAAUGUUUCUUCAUACGAGUCUCCGUUCCUCUGAAAUUCUUGUACUUCAAACAUGUUUCUAUUAUUUGUAAAAGCUUCUUGAAAUGCCUGUUCAAACAAUCCAAAAAUCAUAUUACUAAUCAACUACUUAAUUUGUAAUAAUGGUCAAUGAUAUACAAGUUUUAUUGCAUUUACUAUGACAUCAUCUGAUUUAGCACUGAUAUAAUUUGUUGGUUAUCAUCGUUCGCACUUUGGAAUAAUUCUCUUUUGAAUACAAGCAGCCCGUAGUGUUGGACCCCAGACUAUGUACUACUUCCUCUGUCUCAAAGUACAGCUAUUUCUAUAAAUCAAAUUUGUUCUACAAUAUAUAGCUAUUUCUAGCUCUUUUGGUGCUAUCUAUGCUGUUAUACCUCACAACCACCAACAAUCCUACUCCCUCCAAGUUUUCCAUGCAUUAGUGAAGGAUAUUGCGGCCCUUUUAUCUCAUUCCUUAAUUCCUCUAAAAUAAGCUAGAAAUAGCUAGGAGUACUAUAUUUUAGGAUGAAUGGAGUGAAACAUAGCCUUGGCGUGUGGUUCUUUAUUGGCCACGGCCACGAAUUUCAGUAGGAGCAGAGGUCAACAUGUCUGUGGGACGCAGAUGGCAAGAACCUCAAGGAUAAGACAGAUAAACAUUCAAUUAACUUUGAAACUUUUAACUAUAUAUUAGGACUUUCAAAACAUUGAAGAGGGAUUUUAAGAAACUUCAAAAUGAAUUAAUUGCUUGUAUUUUGAAAUGCUAUUAAUCUAUGGUGGGUGAACAAGAAUUAUUUUUGGGGUUAAGUAUUCAACUAUUUUUCGGGCUAUCAUUAUAUGCUUUUGUAACCCUGAAGUUUGGGGGUAUAUAAGAUUGGAUGUCAAAGCCAAACAUAUAGGGCUAUAAAGUCCAAUAUGUACUUUCUGAACACCCUAUACAUUUACAACCCACUAGCAAUUGUUGCAUCUAAAGCUUAACACGUAAGCAUGUCACAUCAUUAUAAUUUAUUACUUCUUAUGUUUGAAAAUAUAAAACAUGUUUUAUUUUGUAAGGACAAAAAUUUGAAUAACAAUUGCUUUACUAAUAUAUUAUUUACAUAACUUAAAUAUUAUAAUAAUAUGAAAGUACUUUUAAACAUGAAUGAAAUGCUAUCAAUUUCGUUUCAAAAAAGUUACAUUCUAAUAGAGAAAUUGUGAAAAUAUGCCUAAUAUUUUAAAACAGAGGGAAUACAUUGUAGAGUUUAAGAUAUAAGCAUGCAAUUCAUCAUUUUCAUAUUUCAACUUAUAUAUAUAUAUAUAUAUAUAUAUAUAUAUAUAUAUAUAUAUAUAUAUAUAUAUAUAUAUAUAUCAUUCACUACUACAAAAGUGAUUUUUCUGUACGAGACCCCAUGAUUUUCGCAAACGGACCAUAACUAGUGAUGCCUGCAAAAAUCGCGCGGCAUUUUCGCAAACGGCUCCUUAAGAAGCCCGUAUGGAAAAAUCGAUUUUCCCAUACGGGUCUCUUAAGAGGUCCGCAUGCAAAAAUGAUGUCAUUUUUGCAUGUGGCUCGGAAAAAUCGAUUUUUCCAUGCGGCUCACUUAAGCGCCCGCAUGCGAAAAUAAAAUUUGAAAAAUUUGAAAAUUUGAAACUAGUGUAUCUCACUCAUACAAACUCCAAAUUGGAUGAUUCUUUUUCCUAAAUGUUUCUAAAAUCAUGCUCUAUCAUGUUAUUGUGUUCUUACUGUUAUUAUUUAGGCCAUUUUUUCUUGUGACUUUGUUUUAUCAAUUUAAAAUUUAAAUUUCAAAUCUUCAAAUAAAAUUAUGAAGCAAUAAACGAUUUCAGCUGAAAAAGUCAACAACAACAAAGUUGUAUAACUCAUCAAGAUCUAUAAUUUCUAUUUUGGUCAUUUCUUCAUUUGACAAAGUGAUACUAACAUUUUCACAAAAUUUACAUCUCUCUCUUAUAGUUUAUAAAACUAUAUAAUAGAUAUGUACAUUCUUUGAAUAAUCUUACAAAUCACUUUGUCGGAUGAAUAAAUGACUAAAAUAAAAGUUAUAGAUAUUAAUGAGUUACACCAAUUUGUUAUUGACAACUUUUUCAGCUGAAAUCAUUUAGUAUCUGAAAAUGAAAAUGUUGUUUGAAGUUGUUAUAAUUUGAAAUUCAAAUUCAGACUGUUCAAACAAAGUCAUAUAGAAAAAUGACCAAUACAAAAGUUGUAGAUCUUGAUAAGUUAUACAACUUUGUUUUUGAUAAAUUUUCCAUUUGAAAUCAUUUACUACCUAAAAAACUAUUUGAAUUUCUUAUAUUUUAAAAUUUAAAUUUUAUAUAGUUCAAUCAAACUUGGAUGGAGAAAUGACCAAAAGAAAAUUGUUAGAUCUCAAUGACUUCUACAACUUUAUUUUUGGCAACUUUUUCAUAUGAGUUUAUAUAAGACCAUAAAAUUUGAUUUGAAGUUCUCACAUUUUUAAUUAAUUUUUUAAUGAUUAUUUUUACAUGCGGACCACUUAAGGAGCCGCAUGCAAAAAUAGAUUUUUGCAUGCGGCUCCUUAAGUGGUCUACAUGCAAAAAUAUCAACAGUUUUUUCAGUUUUUUCCCUCCUCACCACUUCAAAAAUUUUCAUCUCCCCUCCUCUCCUCUCUCUCUCCUCUCUCUGAUAUCUUCACCCCUCUCUUUUUCUUUCUCUUCCUCUCUCACUCUCUUUCUCUUCCUCUCUCUCUUUCUCUCCUUUGCGCGUGGCCAACGAGGGGGCGCCGAGCAGCGGGCGGUAGGCGGCGUCGAGCAGCGGGCGGCGGGCGGCGGCGGCUCGGCUUCCUCGGCUCGGCGGCCGACAACGACGACGGCCGCGGUGGGAGCGGCGACGGCGGGCGGCGGGAGCGGCUACGGCGGCGGCGGCGGCUCGGCGGCCGACAACGACGACGGCCGCGGCGGGGGCGACGGAUCCGAUGCCGCCGCCGACGGAUCCGGCACCGGUGACGACGAUGGGUGGCGGGGGCGAUGGAUCCGCCGCCGGCGACGACGCUGGGCGGCGGGGGCGACGGAUCCGC
RNAcentral lists this long non-coding RNA (74594 nucleotides) under Oryza sativa (Asian cultivated rice). Its description in RNAcentral is "long non-coding RNA (OSAT_LNC001184)". The stretch from base 61527 to 61801 matches the Rfam family "MIR821 microRNA precursor family". The record is from RNAcentral. Lineage: Eukaryota; Viridiplantae; Streptophyta; Magnoliopsida; Poales; Poaceae.